GUUCUUAUUGCAGGGCCUCCCAGGUGGUUCGAGAAGGCAUCUGAAAGACGAACGGGUCGGACGAUCGGGUACAGGAUCAGAGGGACGGUUCGGUGUCGGGCUCUAACACCAAAACAAUCACUUUAACACCAAAAAAGUUAGAAACAAAUCUAUUCAUCGCAAUGUGUAAAACGAUAACGUAACCAAAGUUCUACAAAAAGUGAAAAUGGCGUAUGAACAUGCUCAACUCUGUCAACUCUUCCCCACUUAACGUAAUUAUAUCACGUCAUUCAAAUCAUAUCUCUAUCAUACCAAAACUAAUCUUACCUUCUAAAUUUCGUGUUAUCUUAUAACUAAACAUUAAAUAAAGUAAUAAUUUUUUAUAAAAUAUGUUUUUUCAACGAAGGAGAGCAAAACUCCUUUCAAUAUAUAUCUUCCUUUACAAGCAAUGUUCUAAAUACAUUUUUUUUUCUGCAACCACUUCCUCAUUACAACUAUGCUCAAUUUUCUUACUUUUCCCUGCCCAUGACAAUUUUGUAGAGUCUGUUCAAACUAUGAAUGUGUAGUUACAUCUUGUGUGCAUUCCAUUUUUUAUCCACAAUCUGUACCUGUUGAGCACAAUAUUUAUAAAUAUCUGGUCAAUGCCGAAGUCUGCAAUUUUACCAAUCCAGUGCAAUUUGAAUGGUUAAAUUUUGUUAAAAAUUAUAAAGGUGGGUACAUUAGUAAUUUUGAAAAAAAAAAUCAAACAUUUUGGUAAUUUUGUUUCCAAAUAUAGUAAUAAUUUGGGAGGGGUAAUGAUAAGUGGAAGAGACAUACUUUCCCUUGCCUGAGAUUAUUUUUCCUAGUAGAUUGCACUAAGUUUCAUUAGUUAUAGAUUGCAAAGGAUGAAUAUACUUUGAAUCCUCUGUGUAGUGGAGGAGGGUCGGUCGAGUCGGUCGGAUCAAAUGUAGUGGAGGAAGCCCGGUCGGGCCGGCUGCCAAAGUUGCAGGGGGCGAAGGCGACCUAAGGCCGAGCGGAGUGAAUCAAACGGAUGCGGGGGUGNNNNNNNNNNNNNNNNNNNNNNNNNNNNNNNNNNNNNNNNNNNNNNNNNNNNNNNNNNNNNNNNNNNNNNNNNNNNNNNNNNNNNNNNNNNNNNNNNNNNNNNNNNNNNNNNNNNNNNNNNNNNNNNNNNNNNNNNNNNNNNNNNNNNNNNNNNNNNNNNNNNNNNNNNNNNNNNNNNNNNNNNNNNNNNNNNNNNNNNNNNNNNNNNNNNNNNNNNNNNNNNNNNNNNNNNNNNNNNNNNNNNNNNNNNNNNNNNNNNNNNNNNNNNNNNNNNNNNNNNNNNNNNNNNNNNNNNNNNNNNNNNNNNNNNNNNNNNNNNNGCAGUCUAUAAAUAGGGACAACAGGACAGGUAAAGUAAGUUUUGAAUCCAAUUGAAAUCGGUCCAGUUAACUGAUCCACAAUCUGACUUGGGCGUCAGAGUGUUCUUUUUGCAGGACCUCCCGAUUGAUCCCUACAAGAUACCGCUAGGACGAACGGGUCAGGCGAUCGGAAGCAGGACGAGUAGGUUGGUUCGGUCUCGGGCUCUAACACUGAAACAUUUGGCGCCCACCGUGGGGCCCGAAAUCGUGAUUUACCCAGAAACGAGUACAAUGGCUGAGCAGUUACAGUUGCAAGUUCUGCAGGAGAUGCAGAGGCAGAUGCAAGAAAUGAGGGCGGAGAUAGCGGCUCUGAGAGCAGAGCGGGAGAACGUGGUGGUAGGAGCUUCGGUGCAAUCGGUGAAUGUGCAAACUAUCCACUCUGGAGAUGAGGAGGUCAGUCGGCGUCCAUCGGUGGAGGAGGUGGGAGAGGUUGCUGGAGGGGAAAUUGUAGGAGGAGGUCGAGGAAGAGGGACUGGCCGGGGGGAGGGACUGGCCGGGGGCAAGCGCCAACGGGAAGAGGGGUCGGUCAGGGGGAUGGUCCGAAUGGGAGGGGGAUCGGUAGAGGAGAGGGGUUAAACGGGAGAGGGAGGGGGAGAAACGGUUAGGGAAGGGGAAGGGGCAGAGGUGAGGAAAACAUAGGGCGCGACCAAGAAAACCCGGAGGGGCAUAGGGAGCUUGCACGGCAGAAUCCGCAGUUUGAAGAGAUUUGGGAGGAUGAAGACCAGUUUGAUCAGGCCAAGGGGUUGCACCCGUUCACUCAUAACGUUAUGGGGGCAGUAAUGCCGGAGAAUAAGGUCUUCCCGUGGGUCGAGAAGUAUGGAGGCACAUCAGAUCCGGUGAAGCAUCUGAGAUCGUUCGUGGAUGCUAUGGCGGUCUAUUCAUCCAAUGAGCUGGUCUGGUGCAGGGUAUUCUCUUUAUCUUUGAAGGAUGAGGCUUUGGAUUGGUUUCACUCGCUGCCACCUCGCAGUAUUGAUGGGUUCGUUACCCUGAGGCAGUUGUUUAGCCAGCAGUACGCUUCAAAUCGUUCGCGAGGUUUGACUUAUACGGCCCUUGUCAGGAUGAAACAAGGGCGGGAAGAAUCAUUGAAGGGGUUUAUGGAGCGCUUCAACUGAACCGUUCGGCAGGUGCGAAAUGUAGACCAACGCCUGAUAGUAAGCGCACUUACAACAGCGCUUAGACCCGACCCUUUCGUGGACUAUCUGUACGAGGAGGAACCCCAAUCUAUGGGUGAGCUGCAGAAUAAGCUGGCCGGGUUUAUACGAAUAGAGGAGGGGAGGUCGUAUCGCAACGAUCAGGGGGAGGAAGGAACAGCGAGGGAGAAGUCGGGGCGGGACCGAAGAGGAGAAAAACGACCGGUCAGUGGGGAGCAUAGGAUGACGGUGAAGCGGGGGGCGGAAAUACAAAGAGCGCAGCAGUAUUUCCAUCACACUCCGUUGAGUGCCCCGAGGGUGAGAGUCCUGGAAGAAGCCUUAAGGGCUAACCUGCUGACGGUGGCACGCUCCCCGACCCCUCGGGGAGCGGAUGAGAGUAAGCAUUGCCUUUAUCAUCAGAACAUGGGACAUUCCACAGAGGAUUGUGUCGCGUUGAGGGACAAGUUAGAGAGUUUGGUACAGGCUGGGCACCUGAGGGAGUUUGUCCUUAGGGAGAAUCCUAACUCGAGAGGGGCCACGGGAAGACACAGAGGUCAAUUACCGGUCGGCCAGAGGGCUCAACCGACCGCCGAACGGAUGGAGGGCGAGGGAAGUGGAGAUAGGCCUCUGAGAGGAGUAAUAAAUACCAUUUCGGGCGGGUUUGCUGGAGGAGGGGCGUCCUCAGCCGCCCGAAAGUGACAUUUGAGAAACCUGCAUAGCGUGAACAAGGUGGGGAUCGGUAGAAGAACCAUGCCGUCCAUAACAUUCUCGGAUGAGGAUUUCCAUGCACCGGACCCGGACCAGGAUGACCCCAUGGUCAUAACGACCAUCAUCGCUCGGUACAGUGUAGGAAAGGUGCUGGUCGAUCAGGGGAGUUCGGCCAAUAUCUUGUACUGGAAAACCUUCCAGCAGAUGGAAAUACCGGACGAGUCGAUCAUGUCGUUUAACGAGCAGAUCUUGUGAUUCGCAGGAGAACGGGUUGACACAAGGGGGUACGUGGACCUAAGGGUGAGCUUAGGAACGGAGACGGGGGCGAAAGAGCUAAGAGUGCGUUUCCUGCUGGUAGAGGCGGAAACUUCUUACAACGUGUUGUUGGGACGACCAUGUCUCAACGCGUUUGGAGCAAUAGUGUCUACCCCGCACUUAGCAAUGAAGUAUCCGGCAGACGACGGCACAAUCCGGACGGUCAGAGCCGAUCAGAGGGUAGCAAGGGAGUGUUAUGCAACGGGGCUAAAAGUGCAGCACCCAAGGCAUAGGGUGUGCGAGGCCCGGGCGGCAGUAUCGGCUGCAGAGUUGGACCCAAGAGAAGACACCACCGACCGGGUGGAACCGAUGGGAGAACUCCAGCCAUGUCUCCUGGAAAAUGAGGACCGGGUGACAAUGGUUGGCAAGGACCUUCAGGAGGACGAGAGGCGAAGGUUGGAGGGGGUGCUGGUAGAGAAUAAGGAUCUAUUCGCCUGGACUGCAUCAGACAUGCCAGGAAUCCAUCCUGACGUUAUUUCACACAGGUUGUCUGUAUUUCGAGAUGCUCGACCGGUAUCUCAGAAGAAGAGGAGGUUAGGUAUGGAGAAGAGAAGGGCGGUAGGUGAAGAGGUGUGGAAGUUAAUCGAGGCCGGAUUCAUCAGAGAAGUCAAGUAUACCACUUGGUUGGCCAAUGUGGUCAUGGUUAAGAAGUCCAGUGGUAAGUGGAGAAUGUGCAUUGACUUUAGCGAUCUGAACAAAGCUUGCCCGAAGGAUACAUAUCCCCUACCGAACAUCGAUGCGUUGGUAGACGGAGUGUCUGGGUAUGAGGUGAUGAGUUUUCUGGACGCCUAUUCGGGAUACAAUCAGAUACCUAUGUACCGGCCGGACAGCGACAAAACCGCUUUCAUUACCGAGCAAGGAACCUUUUGUUACGAGGUCAUGCCGUUCGGACUAAAGAAUGCAGGGGCUACAUACCAGAGGCUAAUGGAUAAGGUCUUCCAAGGGCAAAUAGGCAGGUGCAUGGAAGUGUAUGUUGAUGAUAUGGUGGUGAGGAGCCUGUCGGUUGAGGAGCAUCUAGCGGAUUUGAAAGAGGUCAUGGGGCAACUUCGAAAGUUUGAUAUGCGCCUAAAUCCCGCUAAGUGUACCUUCGGGGUAAGGGCGGGGAAAUUUCUGGGCUUCAUGCUCACCGCUCGGGGAAUUGAAGCAAAUCCCGACAAGUGUAAGGCGGUGUUGGAGAUGAGAAGUCCCCAGACGGUGAAAGAGGUUCAGAGGUUAGUAGGGCGGUUGACGUCGUUGUCGCGGUUCAUCCCUCAUCUGGCUGGUCGGUCAAAGCCGAUCGUCCGGGCUAUGAAGAAGACCGCACAGGGAUGUUGGGACAAGGAGAGCGAGGAGGCUUUCAAGCGUAUAAAGGAAGUUCUUACCCAGCCCCCCGUAAUGGGCCGGCCAAAGCCUGGUCACGAACUACAAAUAUACUUGGCUGUUUCGGAGGGGGCCAUUAGCGCAGCCUUGAUACAGGAAGUUCCACAAUUCAAACUGGUAUAUUUCGUUAGCAGAAGCUUAAAGGAAGCAGAGAUAAGGUACCAACAGUUGGAGAAGGUGGCCCUAUCCCUAAUUUAUGCCGCUCGGCGUUUGCGGCCAUACUUCCAAGGGUUCCAAGUCGUGGUCCGAACGGACUACCCGAUAGUUAAGAUCCUACGAAAACCAGAUUUGGCGGGUCGGAUGAUAGGGUGGUCAGUAGAGCUAUCGGAGUUCGGAUUGAGGUACGAGCCGCGAGGGACGGUGCGGGGUCAACACUUGGCAGAUUUUGUUGUCGAUCUACUCCCUGAAGAGGAGGAGUUCUGUUGGAAACUUUCGGUUGAUGGUUCAUCUAGUCGAAGGUGAGGAGGAGCGGGGGUGGUCUUAGAAGGACCCAAUGGGAUACUAGUGGAACAAUCGUUGAUGUUCCAGUUCAAAGUCAGCAACAACCAAGCCGAAUAUGAGGCUUUGCUGGCCGGGAUGGAAUUGGCCAAAGACCUGGUGGUAGGUCGGCUGGAAUGUCAAACAGAUUCCCAAUUGGUCGAAGGGCAGAUGAACGGGAACUUCCAGGUAAAGGAUGAUCUCUUGUUGCAGUAUUUUCACAAGGCUAAGCAAUUGGUCUCGAGCUUCAAGGAGUUCACAUUGCGGCACGUUCCUCGGUCGGAAAACAUCCGAGCCGACACACUCUCGAAGCUGGCCGGCGGAGUCACGAAAUGAGGAUUGUCUUCAGUAAUCAAACAGGUAAUAACCAAGUCGACGGUAGAAUGUUGCGCCAUUACUACCGAGGGAAUAAUGAAUACCUGGAAGGACGACAUAAUACAGUUGAUUUGGAAGCAAGAUAAUGGGGAAACCUUGAAUACCGAGGAGACCAAGAAGAUCGCUCGGUAUUGCCUGAUCGGUGAUGAGCUCUACCGAAGGGGUUAUGUCACACCUUUACUGAAGUGUUUGCUGGAAAGGGAAGCAGAGUAUGUAAUGAAGGAGUUGCAUGAGGAGGUAUGCGGAAGGCAUACGGGUGGGCGAACGUUGCGGGCAAGGGUGCUAAGGGCAGGAUUUUUCUGGCCAUCGUUGGAGAAAGAUUGUAUGGCGUUCGUCAAAAAAUGCGAAGCCUGCCAAAAACACGGGAAUGUUUUCCAUGGGCCAGCGGUGGAGUUGCAAGGCAUAAUGUCCCCUUGGCCGUUCGCCCAGUGGGGAAUGGACAUUGUUGGACCCCUGCCUACCGGGCGGUCUCAGAUGAGGUUCUUGCUGGUAGCAGUGGACUACUUCACUAAAUGGGUAGAAGCUGAACCUUUGGCAAAGAUUUCUGCCACCCAAGUUCAGAAAUUCGUAUGGAAGAUGCUUUUUAUCGAGAGUGGGGCAUAACUCAUGUCACCAGUUCGGUUGAGCACCCCCAGACGAACGGCCAGGCGGAGGCAAUGAAUAAAAUAAUCAUACAAGAGUUGAAGAGAAGGUUGGGCGAGGCAAAGGGUGCCUGGGUUGAUGAGUUACCAUCGGUCCUAUGGGGGUAUCGAUGUUCCCCGCACGGCGCAACAGGAGAGUCCCCGUUCAACUUGACCUAUGGGACGGAUGCGAUGAUGCCGGUCGAGGUGGGCGAGGAAACACUGAGAAGACGGUUGAAUGACUCAGGGGCGAAUGAAGAGGGUCUGAGGGGAAACCUGGACGUGUUGCAAGAAAGAAGGGAAGCUGCAGCGGUCCGGGUGGAAACACUAAAAAGGUUGGUCGCACGAAGAUACAACACUAAGGUGCGACCAAGACUCUUAGUGGAGGGCGAUCUGGUCUGGAGGAAGGUCGGGGAAGCUCGAAGGGAGAAGAUUCACGGAAAAUUGGCGGUCAGUUGGGAGGGGCCAUUCAGAAUAAGUGAAAGUUUGAAUAACGGGGCUUACCGAUUGGAGCGCCUGGACGGGAGGCCAAUUCCAAAUACAUGGAAUAUAUCUCAUCUCAAAUUGUACUUCAGUUAAAAUAUUCUCUUUUUGUGCAACAAUAAAGCAUGUACUUAUGAAAUCACGAGUUGAAUGAUAUGAGGCGUUUCAUUAUUACUUAAUCAUGACUUCUCGUUCGGGGGAUAAGGUAUGAGGAGGAGGAACGUUCCGGCGUUCCUCCCGAUCGGUGGUAUAAGGAGGGGAAAAGGUCCGGCGUCCCAAUGAAGUCAGGAAAAUGACUUCCUUUAACUUGGAAGAAUUGGGGAAAGUCAGGAAAAUGACUUCCCGUUCGGUGGAAAAGGAGNNNNNNNNNNNNNNNNNNNNNNNNNNNNNNNNNNNNNNNNNNNNNNNNNNNNNNNNNNNNNNNNNNNNNNNNNNNNNNNNNNNNNNNNNNNNNNNNNNNNNNNNNNNNNNNNNNNNNNNNNNNNNNNNNNNNNNNNNNNNNNNNNNNNNNNNNNNNNNNNNNNNNNNNNNNNNNNNNNNNNNNNNNNNNNNNNNNNNNNNNNNNNNNNNNNNNNNNNNNNNNNNNNNNNNNNNNNNNNNNNNNNNNNNNNNNNNNNNNNNNNNNNNNNNNNNNNNNNNNNNNNNNNNNNNNNNNNNNNNNNNNNNNNNNNNNNNNNNNNNNNNNNNNNNNNNNNNNNNNNNNNNNNNNNNNNNNNNNNNNNNNNNNNNNNNNNNNNNNNNNNNNNNNNNNNNNNNNNNNNNNNNNNNNNNNNNNNNNNNNNNNNNNNNNNNNNNNNNNNNNNNNNNNNNNNNNNNNNNNNNNNNNNNNNNNNNNNNNNNNNNNNNNNNNNNNNNNNNNNNNNNNNNNNNNNNNNNNNNNNNNNNNNNNNNNNNNNNNNNNNNNNNNNNNNNNNNNNNNNNNNNNNNNNNNNNNNNNNNNNNNNNNNNNNNNNNNNNNNNNNNNNNNNNNNNNNNNNNNNNNNNNNNNNNNNNNNNNNNNNNNNNNNNNNNNNNNNNNNNNNNNNNNNNNNNNNNNNNNNNNNNNNNNNNNNNNNNCGGCGUUCCUACCGAUCGGUGGUAUAAGGGGGAGGAACGUUCCGGUGUUCCUCCCGAUCGGUGGUAUAAGGAGGGGAAAUGCUCCGGCAUCCCAAUGAAGUCAGGAAAAUGACUUCCUUUAACUUAGAAGAGUUGGGGAAAGCGUUGAUUGUCAAACAUAGAUACAAGGGCGUUCAAGAAUAAAUAAAUACAUCGGUCGACAAAAUACAGAUUGCAGAAAUAUGGUAAUCGCAAAUUGUAAAUACGAGAUAAUUGCGAAGUAAAGGUAAAGAUACGCGACAGGUUCAGUACAAACGAAGUGUGAAUACAAAUUACAAAGCAGCGCAAGGAAAACAAGAAACUAGCAUUUAAUCCUUCGUUGGAGGGGGGAGCAAGUUGGGAAGCCUGGAGAGCGUCGGUCGGGACUGCCUGGUCGGGCGCGCCAACUGGUUCGGCAGGGAACUGGGAGGAGAUAUCAACGAGUUGCCCGUCCACUAAAAUCUUCAUAAUGUCAAAGCCUUCGUGUUCUAAAGGUGACUGGAAGAAGUAGUGACAUUGAGCGAUCCCCUGCUCAAAACCCCGUUGGCGCUCUUCACAAAAUUCGUCCUCCAAAGCAGCAAAGUCGGCCAAUGACUUGUCCCGGUCGGCAAUGGCAGCAACUUUCUCGGAUGUUAAUUGAUUGAUUUGAUUGGAAGAUUGUUGAAGGCUGAUAGUUAGGGAGUCCACUGAUUGCUGAAGGCGCUUAGCCUCAUUUUGGGACUCCAGGAGGGAGGCAGCAGCCUUCGCCCGAUCAUCCUCUGCUUGUUUGUUCGCUUUCUCGAGUCGUUCAGUAAGCAGAGCGAGGUCCUUCUGAGCCUUUUCCAAUUUAGUGUUGGAAAUUUCAAGUUCGGACACUAAGAGAGGUUUGGUGGUCCCUGCGGCAUAGUUUAGGCAGACGCCAGCCCGGGAGAACAGUUCGUAGGCCAUGUCAUAAGCUUCCGAAGGCGUUAGCUUCUUGAAAGGCUCUCGUUCUUCCGGAGUCAAGUUGAACACGAGACGGUCAGACACAUGGAGGUUCGGGUCAAAGGGACCAGAUGGGAGGGGGCCGGAGUUUCUUUUCCUUUUUGGAGAGGGUGUCUUUUCCUGAGAAGGGCGUUUUCUACCCUUGGCCUUCGGGCCGGAGGAGAUCACGAUCGGCUUGGACUCAUCAGUCUUCGGGACGGUGAGAGCGGCAGGAGAAGCAGAGCUGGAAGGGGCAACAGUUGAGGAGGAGGGAACAGUAACAUGCCCGCUGCGUUGGUUCUUGCGGGCCAAAGCUCGGGCAAAUGCUUGAUGUUUCUCCAUGCCUCCAAAGAAAUCUGCAAGGAAAGCGCAAACUUAGCAAGUUAAUAAUGACCGGUCGAUAGUCCCAAAAUGUAAAAGAACUUACCGAACACUCUAGUACGUAGAGUGUCAGAGUCAGAUCCGAUGAGUUCGAUGAGCUUGCGAGAGGAGGUCUUGCGAGGCAGCUGAUUGAUUUGGCGUAUCACCUCUAACUCAUCGUCAGUCAUGUCGGACUUCUUCCAAGAAAUGACUUGUUUGAGAUGUUCGGUCCAGUAGAGAGGAAAUUUAGGCCGGCCUUGGAAAAAUACUUGGGCCGGCCGGGUUCGCGUAUGCCGACUUUGAAGAAAUUUGAUUUAAAAUCCUUAUAAGAGGAGUUGAAGGGGGCAAAUAGCUGUUUAUCCUUUACAGGGAUCAGAGAAAUCCAACUCUUAUUGGGAUGGGGCAAGGCACGAAAGAAGAAGAGGAAAGACGCGGGAGUGGGGGUUAACAAUAAAUCGGUACAUAGGACGGAAAAGGCUUGCAUGCAUGCCCAGCCGUUCGGGUGGAGUUGGGCGGGACAAAUGUUUAGUUCGCGGAGCACGCCGCACUGAAAGUCUGAAAAAGGAAGCCUCACCCCCAAGUCACGAAAAAGGGUUAAAUAAGCGUAAAAGAAGUCUAGGGCAUACCCCUCCCGACCGUGGCACACCCGCUCGUUAGAACGACAUACCACCAAGGAUAUGUCAGCCGCAUCUCGACGGAGAUUGGACAUUAGAUCCACCGAUUCAAGCAAACGAAUGAUGGAAGAGGUAGAAAUGAAGUAGGAAGGGUGACCCCGGACUUCGUGGGGAGCCCAGUCGUAACCGGCGAUGGCGGGAGGAGGAGCCACACCGGUCCACUCUAAGGAGUUGUCGACGUUGAAUUCAACAUCGUCGGCGGGAGCCUCCUCCCGAGCGGGGCAACCGGACGAGGUAGAUGACGAAGAGGGAGAGGAAGUCGACGCAGCCGCAUCGUUAGCAUACCCCCGACCUUCAUUCUCGAACUCAUCGGAGGACCACGACGACGUAGACAUUUACCUGGGCAACCGGAGGAAGGAAACAGAAGGAUGGGAAGAGAGUAGAGUAGGAACGGGAAUCGGAGAGCAGAUGGAAGAGGAUGGGGGAAUGAAGAGGGGGCCCUCCACCUUUUAUAGCCGAAAAAGGGGGCUUCAAAAGAACAUCUCAGUCGUCCAUCGAUGACAAAUCCAACGGAGGACAAUUUGCGACUCUUCGGUGAACAGGUGUGAUUGAUGGGGGAGAAGAUCAUGGCCGUUGCUGAAUACAGGAUCGAAUGGCUGUAAUAACGAGACGUUUCGUUGCCUGAAAACAUUGAGAACUCAAACCCCUUCGCGAAUCGAAGACGCUCGGGGCUUGGGGGGCUUGUGUAGUGGAGGAGGGUCGGUCGAGUCGGUCAGAUCAAACGUAGUGGAGGAAGCCCGGUCGGGCCGGCUGCCAAAGUUGCAGGGGGCGAAGGCGACCUAAGGCCGNNNNNNNNNNNNNNNNNNNNNNNNNNNNNNNNNNNNNNNNNNNNNNNNNNNNNNNNNNNNNNNNNNNNNNNNNNNNNNNNNNNNNNNNNNNNNNNNNNNNNNNNNNNNNNNNNNNNNNNNNNNNNNNNNNNNNNNNNNNNNNNNNNNNNNNNNNNNNNNNNNNNNNNNNNNNNNNNNNNNNNNNNNNNNNNNNNNNNNNNNNNNNNNNNNNNNNNNNNNNNNNNNNNNNNNNNNNNNNNNNNNNNNNNNNNNNNNNNNNNNNNNNNNNNNNNNNNNNNNNNNNNNNNNNNNNNNNNNNNNNNNNNNNNNNNNNNNNNNNNNNNNNNNNNNAUCUGACUUGGGCGUUGGAGUGUUCUUUUUGCAGGACCUCCCGGUUGAUCCCUACAAGAUACCGCUAGGACGAACGGGUCAGGCGAUCGGAAGCAGGACGAGUAGGUUGGUUCGGUCUCGGGCUCUAACACUGAAACACUCUAAUUUCAUAUAAGACACUUAUUUCAAUUUUCAGAUGAUUUUGUUGAUAAAAAGGGGAUGGGUCAAUAUCUUGUGGAACAAAGUUGCAUGUACAUUUCAUCUCCCGAUUUACUUAUAAAACUAUGGAAAUAAACCCUCUUCUUACAAACCCUCCGGCUGCAUAUUAUCUAUUUGUAAAAGUUUUUGUCACUGGUCAUAUACUCUUGGGAUUGUAAGAUCUGUCAAACACGGGUCAUAUAAGUCCUUCAACCUCAUAUAAGUAUCGAUACGUUCUCUUUUUCCGGUUUAUAUUGGAUUGUGAAAUCAAAGUCCAAGAACUUCGAUAACCAUUAUUGUUGCUCUAGAGUUUGUAAGAGUUGUUCUACUAAUUCCUUUAAGUUCUUUUGAUCUGUUUUAAUAAUAAACUUGUUGUUCUAAGAGAUAGUGUCUAAAUUUUGACAAUGCCUCAGUAAUCGCAUAAAACUCACAUGUAUACACAUAUUGUUUUUGCAUUCUCAAUGAAAUUUCUUAGAGAAAUAAACUAUGGGAUGAAUACCUUGACUUAAAAUUGCUUCUACACCCAAGCCAAAAGCAUCUAUUUCAAGAAAAAAAAAGGGCUGAAAAAGGGUUGUAGUGAGUGCUUCCUUCAAUUGUGUAAUCAUUACUUCAGUCCAUUUGAAAGCAUUUAUCUUCAACAAAUCAAUUAGUAGAGCUACUAUUUGGGCACACCCUUUAACAAAUCGCCAGUAAUACCCUAUAAGACUUAGAAAACUGCACAAAUGUUUCAAGUUAAUUAGUCUUGGCCACAUUUUGACAACCUCCACUUUUUUACAAUUCACAGCAACCCUGAAUCCUGAGAGUGUGUGACCAAGAUAGUCCAUUUCCUCUACUCCAAAUGAAUAUUUGGAGAACCUAGCAUACAAUCGAUGACGCUGUAAAAUAUGCAAAACCACUUCUAAAUGAUGCACAUGUUCCUUUAAUAGAACUAUAUACAAGGAUAUCAUUGAAAAAAACAACAAUUUUUUUCAAUAUUCCUUGAAAAAUAUGAUUCAUAAGACUUUGAAAAGUGGUUGGAACGUUUGUGAGUCCAAAGGAUAUUAGCAUACACUUGAAAUGUCCAUCGGAAGGCAGUUUUAUAACGAUCUUUCGAAUUCAACAAGAUUUGAUGAUAUUCUGAUCUCAAAUCUAAUUUAGAAAAGAUCAUAGCAUCAAAAAGUUCAUCAAUCAGCUCAUCAAAAGUUGGUACAGAAAACUAUCUUUUAUAGUUGUUGCAUUCAGUGCUCUUUAGUCAGUACAAACCCUUCAAAAACCAUCUUGAUAGACACUCUUCUUACAAACCUUGGCAAUUACAUAUUAUCUCAAGCGUUUGUAAAACUAAUUCUUAGAUAUGAAAAAAAUAUACAAAUGAUCAUUUGUACCCUGGAAAUGCACUUAUAAUGGGCAGGGAAAGGAACUACAUCCAUUCCUGAUAGAGGUGCAUAUGUUUCUACUGAAUCUGAGGUAUUUUUCCUUAAACUCCCCCUAAAAUAAAAACUUUCUUUAUGAAGUAAUGCUUUGCUUGAGGUCCAAGUUUUUUGUUUUCUUCUCUUGACUUUAACUACUCACAUCACCCAACGAUUAAAUUUUUAUUGAGAAAAAUAUAAUAAAGGCGUAUAUCUAAUAUCCUCUAUUUAAAUAUUUUCUUUUCAUCUCCCUGUCUCUCUUGUUUUGGUUAAAUCUUGUAUUGUGUAUUUUUAUGUGUAUUGUAACCCACAUUACAUUGUCAUGAUAGUAAUUUUGUCUUAUCAAUUAGCUAACAGCUGGAAUUAUAAAUUUUAGAUUUUUUGUUCACAUGGCAUUGGAAUACCUGUUCACGUUAUGGAUUUGGUUUCUGUUGUACAAAGAAUAUGAUUAUGUCGCAUCAAUGAGAUUGCAUUUCAUGGCAUCACAACGCAGGCGUGUGGAGCAAUUCAUAGUAAGUUAAAAAUCUUAAUUCAUUUUUCAUUGGGUGGAAUAAAAUUGACAUUGUUUCUUAUUGUUAGAAAGCAUUUCUUGGAGCUCUUCAGUCCUCACCAUUUUUCAAUUGUAGUGAAGUGUCUGAUCCGUUUUUUUUUUAUGUAUUGUGGUAAGGCUUGGAUUGUUCAUUUCAUCAGUUUAUCUUUUACUAGUUAGCAAAGAAUUCAUUGGGCCCAUUCUCAUAUUAUGGAUGCUGCUUAAAAUGCUCCAAAUAUCCUUAGACAGUUUGUAAAUAGAAUUUCUUGCAUUUCCCGAGUUCUUCAUUAGGCUUGUGAGAAUAAGUUGAUGGAGAAGAUGCAACUCUAUGUGUGCUUCUUUGUUAUUCUUUUCUAUAGAUUUGAAUUUAUAAUUAAUGUAUUGGAUUUUGAGUUUGAUAUGUUAUUAUAUGGAUGCAGUGGAAGGCAUGUUUAAUUAGUGGAAUGUGUUGUGCAGGUAGUUAAGGGAGGGAUUUUAGAGAUAGGUUUGUGGCAUACGUGGUUUGACCGAGACUGAGACUUAGCUGUGACGGGGAGGUUCAUUUUUCGAGAAGAGGAUGCGACCUCUAUUUAAUAUUCACAUCAUUAUGUUAGGAUUGAGGAACCUAUUAUCCGGAUUCCAACUACUUGGAUAGGUUCUAAUUUAAUUUGUAAUUUAAUGCGGGUUCUGUUUCAUACUCAUAUCUCUAAUUUAAUUUUAGUUUUUCCUUUUUUUAAUAUCAGGCACUAGGUUUUGCUGGGAACAAAAAAGACCUUGAGGAUAACGUACUAGAAAGUUUUUGAAAAUUUACUACUUGCCUUUGUAAUUAUUUGCUUAUCUCAAACUAAUGGAGGAAAUAGAAAAUAAAUGUAUUUUUGAAUGAAAAAACCGAACAAGAAUUCACUCAAAAGACAAAAACAAUAAGGUUAAAACCACUUUAGCGUUCCUGUUUUCGUUAUGUUUUCCCAAUUGGGUCCCCGUCUUUUAAAAACUCCCAAUUAAGUCCCUUUAAGUGUUAAUUUGAAACCAAUUAACCCUUUCCGUUAAAAAUCGUUAACGGUGUUAAACUAUUACAGAUGUGUUGACUGACGUGGUAGACGUUCUACUGAUUUGCGACAUUUGGCACUGUUGAAUGAAACGUGUCAUGGCCCGCAACAUCUUCUGACCUAAAAAACCUACAGGGGUCAAAUUCCUCUAUCUCAUUUUACUCAAAGAAACUUCAAGAGACCUAGUCUCUCCUCCCCCAAAUGCCAUGCAGCACACAAACUCCCUCCCGUCAGCCACACGCCGUCUGACCGAACGCCGGCCACUGAUCCCAUCCCGCCACCUCAAAUCGCCGGCGGUCACCGCGCUGUGACGUUCUCACCACCCCUCUCUCUGUUCGACCUAAGGUUGGGGUUUCUACUCAAAUACGUCGGCACCUCCUCCAACAGCCACCGCGCCACCACCGUUGAGGUUCGUCUCGCAUCAUCGCCGGCGACGCCAACCCUCCUUCUUCUUCGAACUCAAACACACCAUUGUUGUCAGAGAAGCUAAGCGUUGCCGCCACCGUCGACCACCGGUAGCAGCCGUGAGGAUUGGUCUCCUUCCUGAUUCGCCCUCCGAUGGGUCCCUCAGUGUCGGGCGUGACAGCACAGAGUAUUCUAGAGUCGUGUUGAGCGUAGCAAUUUGGAGAUUACUAAGGGUUGCGUGAUGGUCUGAGAAAUGUUAGGUGAUGAAAGUGACGACGAUGGUUGAAGGAGGCGACUGGCGAUAGAGGUGAUGGACAAAGAUGUUUGUUACUGAUGCUUGGUCCAAUGAUCGGAGAACUUUGCCGAGAAGAACCCGACGAGGUUUUGGUGAGGCUCAUAAGGUGUUCGAUCGUAUGUCCAGCAUGAGUAUAGAUUCUUGAUUCUUGGUGAGAACUUUGCUGCUAUGCGGAACAUGGUUGGGUCGGUUUGAUGAUGGUGUUGUUAUGCUUUCGUUUUCUUUUCUUGACUUGGGCGUGGGUUUUCUGAUGGGAUGAGUGUUGGGCUUGUGAAAGAAAGUUUCACUGUGUGUUUCACAUUGUGCGCGUGUGUUUUGUAAUUUGCGUUUGAUGAUGCGAUGGUGAAGGUUUGGAUAUGGUGGUGGUUGCUUUUUCUUGCAGAGGAAAGAAUUGUGAUUUGUGCGUGAGGGGUUUGGUUUCAUGUUGUUUGAUAGAGGUAGAAGAUGGUCUUGAAGGUAGCUAUAUGGUCCGCUAGAGAAAAAAAAAAACUACCUCUGUUUCUUAUUUUGAUAUGAGAACUGCAUCUGCUUUUGUUUACUUUUCAUCUUAUUACAUGUGUUCUUCUGGGUGGAAGCAGAAGGUAUUGAGUCUUAAUGUGGAAGGGUAGUACAGGCCUAUGUUUAUCGUCGAUUAUGGUUAAUGAAUUUUGCAGGCGUUGAAACUGCAUUUUAAAAUAUAAUUACAAAUCUUAAUGAAUGGAAAAGAUGACACGUUUCAUUCAACAGUGCCAAAUGUCGCAAAUCAGUAGAACGUCUACCACGUCAACCAACACAACUGCAAUAGUUUAACACCGUUAACGAUUUUUAACGGGAAGGGUUAAUUGGUUUCAAAUUAACACUUAAAGGGACUUAAUUGGGAGUUUUGAAAAGACGGGGACCCAAUUGGGAAAACAUAACGAAAACAGGGACGCCAAAGUGGUUUUAACCAAACAGUAAUGAAAGAAUGGAGCCUCUCUAUCAUUCACAGUGAAAGAAAACCUUUUUACAAAGAAUGAGAUGGGAGCAUAAUCUUCCAAGUUGAGAGCAUAAUUCUCUCCACAUGCUAGAGACCUGACUUUAUACAAAAUAUGCUCGAUAAUCCUAUACAGACUAUACAGGAGUCUAUUUAUAGUUGUAGCAACUGUGACCCACUCUUCCUUACAAUAGAAACCCUCAACUCCCUUAACCGUCAUCCACCCACAAAUGUUCGUCUUCUAUCUUGAACCUAUCAUUCUAUAUCCUAACAAUUUGUAUGAUGCUCUUUAGACACACUGUAAGGGAUUAAUUAUUUGUAAUUGGAGAUAAAUAUUUGGUAUUAUAUUUUACAAUUUGACUGUUUUAUUUGACUUUUAUCGAUAUAUGGAAUUGUUAGAUAUUGGAUGUAGAUGUGAGAUUAUCUAAUUUUUUUUUUAUAAUACCAUAAAAUUACAUACGGAUUCUUUUAUAUGUAAUUACAUACAGAAAUUACAUAUGGAUUCUUCCGUAUGUAAUAUAUAAAGAUUUUACAUACGAAUUUUUCGUAUAUAGUUACAUACGGAUAAAUCUAUAUAUAAGUUAUAUACGGAUAUAUCCGUAUAUAACUUAACUACGAUAGUUUCAUAUACAGAUUUUUAUUCAUGUGUAAGCCUUAUGUAAUCAAGUCUUAUAUACAGAUUUUGGACCUUGUACAUGUAUACAAAUUUUAGUGGUAUGUAAUUCAAUUUUUUCUCAUAGUGUGAUUAGAUUAAAUGUACACAAAGAGAGACAAUUCUGGAUUAAAAUUUUAAAUAUAUUGAGUGACAAAAUGUUUUUAAAUAUUAUUUUUAAGUGUAAUGUUGAGAAAAGAAAUUAUAAAUAACUUCCAUAUUUUAAUAAAAGUAAAUUACCCAAGUCCUUAAAAAGAUUAGAAAUAUAUUCUUUAUUGCAUAUAAAAAAAAAUAAUGUUCCCAAUUUUGGAUCAUAUAAUUAUAAUUAUUGAAACUAUGAAAAAGUAACAGAUUACAUAAAAGGUCAUAGUCUCAUCUAUGAACACAUGUAUGAUUCGAGUUUCUUUCUCUUUGUUCCCAUUAGAAAAAAAAAACUAAAAGAAACCAAAGGUGUUUUUUAUGCUUUAUUGUUCUAAAGAAUAUUAGGAACUACUUUAUUUGAAAGGGUUUAUUACUUAUGAUUAUUAUUAAUCUGUAUGAAUCAUGAAUAUAACAAUUAGUAAGAGCAUGUUAAUUUAUUAUUAAUUGACAUGAAUCCUAUUCUGAUUUAUUUGUAGAAUUAGGGAUUUUAAUUUUAAUUGAUUGAUUUAUUUAUGAAAUUAGGGAUUUUGGUUUUAAUUGAUUGAUUGAUUUAUGGAAUUAGGGAAUUUGGUUUUAAUUGAUUGAUUUAUUUGUGGAAUAAAUAUAAUUUUUAAUUAUAUUUUAAUAAAUUUAAAUUUACAUAAUAAAUAAUAUAUUUAAAAUAGUCCGUGCAUUGCCCUCGUAAAAUACUAGUAUAAUUUAUAAAACAUAAGAAAUAUUGCAAGAUUAAAUCUUUAUUCUCUUUCAAUUUAUAUAAUUUGUUAGUUUUUCUCCUCUGUUUUUUUGUCUUCAUUUAUAUAUUUUAAAUUCGUAAAAUAUAUUUAUAUAAUUUUCAACCAUGUCCACUGCUAGAGAAGAAAGAAAGAUAUCUCGGCAGAAUUAUCCAAUAGUUUGACACCCAUACAUAUAACAAAUUAAAAGAAACAAGUGAAACGAAAGACAGAAAAUGACCAGCUCCUCCAUGAAGUAUUGAUAUCAUUGAAUAUUUUCGGGAAGAUGAUCUAAAAUAUAAUGUCCAAUACGACCAGUACGGAAAAGAUUAAGCAACUUCCCAGCAACCUUGUCGUGAGCAUCUUCUUCACAUUCAACUGAAAUAUGUUUCAAAAAGUAUCCGUCGAACAAGCAACUUCUUUUCUCCUGACUAAACAAUCCUCAACUGCUCCUGGAUAAAGAUUGAAAUGAAGGUAUGAGCAAGAACAACAGGAGAUUAUCUAAAAGUUACAAAAGCUAACCUAACAAUAUAACAUAUUUCUCUUUAUUCAAAUUCCUUUUGUUGUUUAGUUCGCUUGGAAGUUAUGAUGUGCUUAUGAAAUGAACACUGCUCUACACUAGUUUUUUAUAACGAAAAGAUAUAUAAGAUGAUACAAAGUUGAAGGAGAGCAUUGAGUAGAAAAGGAAGAAAAUAUCAAGGCAUGGUUAUAUUGGCCGUAGUAUAGUGCAUUUAACAUCUUUCUAGAAGGAAAUUAAUGUAUUGUAGAAAGAAAAGGUCCCUAAACAUGAAAAACCCGAUACUUUAAUGAACAUGAUAAAAUAUAAAAAUACAGCUCUGCAUACCUUCAUCGUGCAUAAUCUAAAAUAGCAGCUCCUAUAAACAUCCAUGAGCAUAACAAUUUAAAGAGGCAAUGUAACACCCAUAAAAAAUGUGAGCAUUUCAGUCCAAUCAAUGCAUAAGCCCUUGGUAUCAAUGCUUGUCAAUCCCACUUUGCUGCUCUCAGUCUUCCCCAAUGCCUUUUCACCACCGACAACAGGCCAUCAUCACUGUUUUCUCCUUCUCAUGUUGGGCACUAAUGCAGGGCACGAGUGACUAAUCCUAUGCUCCAUGUAUUGUUGGUGUUCUAAAAAGAUGGACAAAAAUUAGUUUGUGGCUCUGUUUGCAUGUUUGUUUUGUGGACACUUAGUUUCAUGUAUUUACUUUAUGCAUGUAUUUCCUUUGUACAUCUAGAGGAGAUGUAUUUUGAUGUGUUACUUUAUGCCUAUGUAUGUAUGUUACUUCGUGAUUCUGUUCUAAUUACCGUAAUCACAUUCUGUUCUAAUUACAGUAAUCACACUUUUUGUUAGUUUGUUAGGAUUUGCCAUAUAUUUCUUUUUCCCUUUUUAUGUUCUUCCCUAUCCACAGCGAACUCUCUCCCUUUGAUGUAAAUACACAGAAACAUACAAUAAUAACACAUAUUUAGUUUUAUGCAGUUACCUCCGCUCCUCUGUUCUUCUUCUUCUUUCCCAUUUUUCUUCUUCUUCUUCUCAGAUCUUCUUCACCCUUCGAACCUCUUUCGAUCUCCUUUCUGAGGCCUUCACGCAACUAUCCAUACUCCAUCCUUGAGAGGAACGUUGUUGGUUUGCUGGAGAAUCACCCAGGAGAAGCUUCGGUCUUUCUCUCUGCCAAGGGAUAGCUUCAGCCUUAUCCCUGCUCUGCUCCUCACCUACUUCUCACACCGGAGAAGCUUACAAUCUCUUCUUUUAAAGCCCUACACCUUUAAAUGUUAGGACAAGAAAACAAUCUCUUAAAAGGGUGGAUUAAACAUGUCAGCUACAAUGAAGUAUGAAACCAAAUGACACAUAAUUCAUUCAAUAUUACAUCUCAUCAAGUCCAAACGUCAUUCAAUAAAAUUAAGAAAAAUGACCUAUUUAUUACACAUUUUUUGAAAAAGAAAAAAAUCAAUUAAUUGAGAUUUUCAAACAACUAACCAAGAAUUUAAACCAAAUAUAUUUAGUCCAUGUAGAAUCAGCUUAUUUUUAUUUGGACUCCGUAAAAGACCUCAAUAUUGAAGAAAUAUAUAAACUUAGUUCUGACAUUAUAUUCCAAUAUCAAGAAUUAAGAUACUAACAUCUACAUAUAUAAACUUAGUUCUGACAUUAUAUAUUCAUAUCAUCUCUAAAAUUUAACCAAUCUUAUAAUUAUAAGGAACACGUUUGCUUUCAAUAAUUAAGAUACUAACAUCUACAUGCAAGAGUAACUUGUGUUUAUCUCUCCAAUCCAAUGAUAUAAAAGAUUACAAAAAAAAAAAAAUCAACAUGAAGGCAUAACCUAUACAAAGAAAUGAACAUAAAAAAUCAACGGAAAAUAAUUUUUACAUACGAAAAAAGCUAAAGAUUCCAUUCUUAGCUAUAAGCUUUCACAUAAUUCGAUCCCCAUGUGUCAACAUCCAUUAAAAUAAGUUCAGUGGCUCCAAAAAACAAUCAUAAUUGGUAUUCGAAAAAUAGCUAUAUAUAAGAAUGAAAAUUAAUUUGAUUCUGAUUUAAAAUAAAUAUAAUUUAUCUAGACAAUUUACCCAUUUCAAAACAUAGGCAUAUAUAGCGCCUUAAGGCUGAUCGUUAUUAUUGAAAUGGUAAAAAGCGUUGAGAUUGAGUUAGAGUGAAUAAAAAUUAGCAAGUACCUUAAUGGGGAAAAAAAAUUGUGGAAUAAUAAUAAUAAUAAAAGAUUGUGUGUUUAAUUUAUUUUUGUUUAUUAGGUUUAAAACCUUAAUUGUAAAAUGUAUAGUAUUUAAGGAGUAAAAGAACGGAAUGUAAAGAGAAAAAAAAAAUACCAAUAGAAGAUUAAAAAUAGUAAACCAGAAUAACUUGGAGAUGUCAUUGUUUGUUAUUAGAAACUAAAAAAACAUCACCUUUUUUAAACACUUUUAAAAACUAUUUACGACAAUUUUUUUUGUUUAUUUGGUUUUUUAAAUGGAAAACAAUUUUGAGAAACAGGAAUUGCAAUUGUUAUUUCAGGUCUUAAAGUGAGUAAAGAAAGUACUAUUUUAGUUUANAUACAACGACCAUAUAAAUAAGAUCUAUAGCGACACUCACUAACAAUUAAAACAACAAUCAUUUGUUAAUUCUAUUUUAAUCAAUGAAAAAUUAUAAAGGUAGGAGUAAUAAAAAUUGUAUGGAGAUAAAAAAAUGCGUAAAGCAAAAACAAUUAUAUAGUGAAGGGUUACAAUAAUAUUACCUGUCAACCUUCCCCUUCAAUAUUUUGCAGAACAUAGUUGCUUUUUAAUACAAACAUUUGUCUGCUAAAUUGUACAAGAAGUAGAACUUUCGGAAUAUGGUUAAGCCAAAUGCCAUCCAAAAACUUAUAAUGAAUCCAAAUGUCAUACUGAUAUAAAAUUCACGACUGAAAAAGGAAUAGUCAUCCUUAUGAGUUUCAUUCUUUUUCUCUUUUGGUGGUACUUUAUACACACAUAAUUUCUCAAGAGGUGGUCCGCAAAGAUUGAGAUUAUCUUCAUAGCUCGAAACAUUGAAACUCUGCAAUUGUGUGCUAUGAGGAAUUUCACCAACUAGAUGAUUAUGAGACAAAUCUAACACACUAAGUCGAUCAAUUUGAGCAAGACUUGUAGGAAUUGAACCAAUUAUUUGGUUUCUUGAAAUGUCCAAAAAUUCAAGUGAGGUAAGCUUUCCAAUAUUUGAAGGAAUUUUUCCAGUCAAAUUGUUUCUUGAUAAAUUCAAUGAAACCAAUUCAAAUAAAAUCUCAAUUUCUUCUGGUAUUUCUUCUGAAAAGUAAUUGCUUGAGAGGUCAAUGCUUUUUAAAAGUAAUAAUUCAAUACUCUUGAACAUUUGUUGUGAACCUUUCCACAUUAAGAGUAUAUUCAAAGCAUACGAUUGAGAGCUAAUAUACAAAUGUUUUGUCUCAACUUCAUACCCAUAAUCUCUUCUUGAAGAUGCCUUUUCAGCCAUUGAAGUAAAAUUUUUUAUACAUUUAGGAAUUCGUCCAGACAAACUGUUGAGUGAGAGAUCUAAGAGUUGAAUGUUUCUUAGGUGACAAAUUUGCAAUGGUAAGUUUCCUUGAAAAUGAUUCCUUCUUAAACUUAAAUAUUGCAACUUUCCUAAUUUGCUCCCAAUCCAACCAGGAACAGAUCCUGAUAAAUUAUUUUCUGCAAUAUCUAUCAUCACUAGCUUUGUGCAAUGCCUUAAGGAGAAAGGAAUGCCAUAUGUUAAGUUGUUGUUUCUCAAAAACAAUGCUUGAAGAUCAUGGAGGGAUCCUAUUGAAGUAGGAAUCUUUCCUGACAAUUGAUUUUGACUCAAAUCCAAAAAAGCUAAUGACUUGAAAUGGCUCCAACAAUCUGGAAUUUGUCCAGACAAGUUAUUAUUUGAAAUGUCUAACUGGUAUAAUUUUCCAAUUGGAUCACCCACACAUAAAAAUGAAAGAGAGCCUGAAAACUUAUUCUUGGAUAAAUCAAGCAAUAUGGAACUUCUAAGAAAUGGGGAAAUAGGACCUUCAAAUUGAUUUGAUCCAAGAAUUAGAGAAUGAUAAGGAUUCUUUGUUGGAAAAUACGGAAUUAUACCAUGUAGACUAUUGCAUGAAAUAUUCAUUGAAACCCAUUUUCGCAAUGCUAAUUUAGUCCAAAACCACUUCGGAACCAUAUAUGAUAUUCCAGCAUUUGAAAUAUCCAAAUCGCGAAACUCAUUUUGUGUUUGUAACCAUUUGGGGAAUGUUGGACCAAGGAUGCAUGAUUGCAAUCCUACUUUCCUUAAUUGAAAAGGUGGGACCCAAUUUUGAGUAAAUGUCAAGGAUAAUAAAGAAUUUCCAGAUAAGUCUAAUGAAUUUAACUUUGACAAAUUGGCAAAUUGGUAAUCACUUAGCACACCCUUUAAGGAGUUUGAUUGCAUAUAAAGUUCUUCCAAUUGAUGUGGAAAUUGAAUAUCAUUAGGAAACUCCCCAUUCAACUUGUUUUUACGAAGAGAGAGAAUUUUUAAAGACGAGAAAAUUGAGAGGUCAGGCAAUGUACCAUUGAUUUGAUUCCAGCCUAGAUCUAAGCUUUCCAAUGAAUAUCUAGCACACCCAGAUAAGUGAUGGACUAUCAAUGGAAACUCUUGACGCAAGCUAUUGUUAAACAUAUUCAACAACCGCAAAGCACAUGCAUUGCCAAAUGAUUUUGGAAUUCCACCUUCUAAAAAAUUUGAUCCAAUUGAGAGAGACUCCAACUGAGAUGGCAAUUGGUUACCUUCUGGUAUCUCUCCAGUUAACUGAUUAUAUGAAAGAUCCAAUAUUUUCAGGUUUGAAAAUCUUGAAAGGUCAGGGAAUGUGCCAUUGAUAUUAUUUCCUCCCAACUUCAAAUCUUGUAGCACGUUUUUAGCACAUCCAGACAAGUGCUGGAAUAUCAAUGAAAACUCGCCACUUAAUAAAUUAUAAGACAUGUCCAAUGAGUGUAAGGUGCAUGUAUUUCCAAAUGAUUUUGGAAUUUCACCUUCUAAAAAGUUGAAUAGGAGUGAUAAUGACUCCAAUCGGGAUGGUAAUAUACUUUCAGGUAUCUUCCCAGAUAAUUGAUUACCAGAAAGAUCUAAUAUUUUCAAAGUUGUGAAUAUGGAGAAAUUUGGGAAAGAACCACUGAUUUGGCUAGAUGACAGAUCUAAUUCUUGUAGUGAAUUUCUAGCACAAGCAUUAGACAAAUUAUGAAGAAUUGAUGAAAGACUUUGGUUCAAACUGUUUUUACCCAUGUCUAAAGAUUUUAAGGUGCAUAUAUUCAUGAAAGAUUGCAAAACCUCAACCUUGAAUUUGUUAAAGAAGAGGUCAAGCUGCUCAAGUGAACUCAUUGCCAAACCAAAGUGAUUUGGUACAGAACCCUCUAUGAGAUUAUGACUAAGGUGAAGCUCAACAAGGUUGGGAGUGAAGUUUGCCACCCAUUGGAAUAUCAUUGUUGACAUGAGGGUGUUCUCGGAUAGAUCAAGGACCGUGAGAGAAGUAGAAAAAUUCAAUAUAGAUGGCCUCAAUGAAAGGAAAAAAUUAUCAGUAAGGCUACAAUCAAAUAAACUUAGUUCCCUUAAUUUUGGUAGCUUACCAAUCAUUUGCGGCAAACUAUGAGAAUGAUAAAGAUUUGAUAUGGAUGUCAAGUAAAGAUGGGUUAAAGAAAUGAGAUUAGAUAACCACUGACCUCCAUCACCAAUUUUUAGAGCGCCAACACCUCCAAUAUAAAGCUCAUGUAAGUUUGACAGGUUUCCAAGUUGACUUGGUAUAUUCCCUUCCAAAUCAUUGUCGCGGAGAUCAAGAUAUAUUAAGUGAGAGAGAUUUCCCAGUUGACGAAGGAUUGGACCCUCCAAAAAAUUAUAAGCGAGAUUUAAGUAUUUCAAAUGAGAAAGAGACCCAAAUUGGGCUGGAAUUUUUCCGUCAAAACCACAUGAUGAAAGAUCGAGGUAUCUCAAGUUGCUAAGAGAGCCAAGAAAUUCUGGAAUAUUGCUGUCUCGGAAAGAAUUGGAACUGAGGUUCAAAUACUGUAAUUGUCGCAACUCCAUCAACGACUUGUGGAUUUCUCCGCUGAUAAAACGUUCUGACGAAAAUUCAAUGUAAAAAUUGAAAGAAAUUUCGUUAUGAAAUUCUCCGUGCAAAUCGAGCAUUAGAAUAUGUCCAGUGAGGUUGGAGCAGCGAAUCCCCCGCCAUUGGCAACAGUGAGGAGUGGUCCACGAAGAAAGCAUGCCAUAGCGAUCUACAAUGGCAGCCUUGAAUCGGAGAAGUGCUUCCCUCUCUCUUUCUAUGCAUCUUACUUCCUCUUUACCAUAAACAAGCUCCAUCACCAAACACACCGUAAACAUCAUUAGUUUAAGACCAACCGGGUUCCUCAUCAUCACAAAGGAAAUGUAAUGGAUCAAACCCACUCACUAUUGGAAAUAGAUUGAUACUGUCAGUUUAGCUCUGUCUAUAACCAUUUAUAUAACACUUCAUGCAUCCAUAACUCACCAAACAAAUAACCAUACUUUGACUUUUAUAUUUACAAAUAAAUAUUUAAUUUUUGUUCAAAUUUGUUGUAAAAUAUCAGGAAAAAGAAACAAAGAGAGAAUAUUCAACUAUCGUAUUUAAGUUAAACAGUGAUUGUGGAAUUGUAUAAAGUGGCAUGGUCCCUUAUACGACUUUGUAGGAACAAAACAAAAAAAAUACCUUCAAAAUUAUUCCAAUGCAAUAAAUUCUAAAAUAGUAAGCACCUAUUAUUGAUUGUUCUGUAUGUCGAGUUGUUGAUUAUUGUAGAAAAUAAUUUUAAAAUCAUAUUUGAAAUUAUUUUAAAAUAAAUUGAUCAUGGAAAUAUAUUUAUAUUAAUUAAUGAUAUGCAUAAAAUUUAAAUUCAUAUUUGUAUUUCAUGUCGAAUAGUUUUAAAUUUAUUUUCAUCUUAUUUUGUUAGGCAUGUUAAUAGUACAUAAAGUAGAUAAAGUAUUUUUUUUUCAAUGUAUGCACAACUAAAAUUUUAAACACUGAAAAUGUAAAAACUAAAAAAGCAGAAAGUAAUCAAAGUUUUGGGAAAGACUUGGAAAAGUAUCCGUCAACCCUUAUCAGAAAUAACUUACGUCUAAUACUAAAAGCUAUCAGUACAUCGAUAUGAAAAUGAAACUAUAAAAAUCAGUAAAUUUGAAUAAUAGAAUAAAAACUGUAAAAGAAAAAAGAAAAACUAUGUUAGGUAAGGAAAACUAGUAAAUAUGAAUUUAUUGUAUGAUGAUUGAAUAUGACUAAGUACCAAAUUGGUUAAUUAGGUUUUCAAAACUUAAUUUAAGAUAAACUAACAUGUAUUUGAUACAAGAAAAUAGUAAAUUAAUUAUGAAAUACACUAGUGCAGAAUUGACCUUUAGGUCUUGGAUUUAGGGAAGAGUAAUUGAGAGAAUUUGAAGAUAAUUUUUUUUUAUUUGCAUAUAGAUUUGGAGAUAAGUGAAAAUAAAUUUGAAAGUAAAAUUUAUAAGAAUUAUUGUAUAAUUUAAUAUAAAAAAUUAUAAAUUCUACUCACAAAUACCACUAUUUUAUUUUUUAAAGUAUUUUUAGUGUAUAAAUGAUAUAGAAAAAUAUAUUAACUAAUAAAGGUGAAUUACACAGGUAAUAAAAAAGAUAAGAAAAUAAGAUAUUAGAUUUUUUGCAAUGGUUAGGGACAUUUAGUUUCAUAUGAUUUUUAUUAUAUUUAUACUAUUUUAUGUGAACGUUAUUUUAUUUGAAUAGUUUUAUGUAAGUAAAUAAAAAGACUUGGAGAAGACUCGAGCAAUCAUCACGUCAAACAAUAAAUGGGGGAUGGUCCCUUUAUUUAUACCAUUUCUUUGGAACAAAUCAACAAGACUUUGAAAAUUGGGUCAUUGCAUUACAGAAAACGAAAUACAACCACAUAUGGUACAAAUUUCAUAUUCAAUUUAAUAAAUGAAAGAUAAUUAUUCUAUCAAAUUUCAAAUUUCAUUCAAAAAUGAGUUUUUAUUUCCACACGCAGAAAAUUAAUCAUUUCCAAUCCAUUCAAAAGAUAAAUUAAUUUGUUUUAUUCCAACUAAAACUCAAGCUUAAUAAAUUCCAAUUUACCUUAACUCAAAAUAAUUAACUUUAAUUAUCUUAUAAAAGUUAAACAUGAGAAUAUAAUUUUAUUGAAUUUCUACUCUUUUAAAAAAUAUAUGGGAUUCAAUCUAGAGAUGUUAUUCACCAUUUAAUAACUUCUCAAACAAAUUGAAAUUACAAUUUUAAAGAUACCUUCUCUUAAUUCUUGUGUUUUAUAAUUUUGAAAUAGUUAGAUAUGUGUUAACUUCCUUAGGGAGUUUGAUUUACAAAUUCUUGUGUCUUCUUCGAUAGCCCCAACUUUUCAACCUCAAACUCUCCGAUCUUCAGUUUUUUAUGACUUCACAAAUGAUGAUCCUCUUCCAAACACCUCCUUAGAUGCACUAAGGAUGAACUGACUAUUUCCUCUUUCACCGUAACAACAAUUAACCAGCUCCACAGACAAAAGUUUCACAAGCCAAACAAAAACACACACUUCCCAAGAGUUUCUGAGUUCUUAAGCACAAGGGAAGAGUUGUUGUUGAUAGAUAAAGUUAGUCUAUUUAUAGACUUAAAUUCUUCGAAACUGGCCAUUUAACGCUUUUAAUCGAUUAAUAUUAAUGUUAAUCGAUUAAAAUGAGUGCAACGACUAGUUUUCAAAAACCAGAAAACUCCAACGGCUAGUUUUAAUCAAUUAUUCUAAGGAUUAAUCGAUAAACUAAUCGAUCAAAAAAGGUAUUAAUCGAUUAUUUCCUUGCCAGUUAAGUUUUCAGCACCUGUAACAUUUUAAUCGAUUAAUACUUGAUUUAAUCGAUUAAAAUCGUGCAUUUUUUAUUCUGAACAACAAAUAUAAAGUAUAAAGGUACAAGAAUCAAAUCCUAUUACAAAUCUAAGUCUUAAACAUUUAAACUACAAUUAUUACAAAAGCUUUUAAUAACAAAAAUAAGUCUUCAAAGGAUCUUUGUGAAUCUUGAUAUAUCUUGACUUGAUUUGGACAUCAUCAAAACUUCAUCUUCAUCAUUUUGCUAACAUUCUCCCCCUUUUUGAUGAUGAUCAAAAACUCCUUUGAAUUAAAGCUUUUAGUAAUAAUCUGGAUAAAAGCACAAUGUAUGGAAGAAAAUAGCAUUAGAGAAUAAUAACAAGCUUUAAACAUUUUCUCCCCCUUUUUGAUCAUAAUUAAAAAGUUGUGUUUCAUGUUCUCCCCUAAGAUAAUACUCCUCCUUAAUAAAAUCAUGUAUGCAUAUGAGUUAAAUAUAUUUCAAAAUUAAGGAUUCAUUCAAACAUACAUAAUAGGAGAUUUAAAGUAAAUAAUUUUUAGAAUAAAGAACUUUAAAAAAUCAUACAUUGAACCAUACAAGAUAGGAAUUUUAUUGCAAAAAAAAUGGCUAAAAUUUCAAAAUGCACAAAAAUGGAUCAAAAUGUAAUCUUAAGAGAUUUAUAAAAUUUCUAUAUCUCUUCUAACGUUACCCCUUUAGAUAUGUCUACAAAUUCGUAAAGAUAAAUUGUUGAGAUCUUUGUCUUAAGGAUUGUCAUCAUUCUUCUCUUCUUUUGUUAUCUUUUGCAAGUCUUCAUUAUUACCUGCAUCUAAUUCAACUGACUCAAGAGGUUUUACCUCAAGGUCCACAAUUUUAUCAAAGAAAACAUGCUUGGAAUAAAAUUUUCUCAAUUUUUUUUUAAAAAUUAAAUGUUAAAAAAAAUUAAAUUUUUAUAAAUAAUUUAAAAGUUGAACAUGGUCUUUUAGGUUAUAUAAAAAAUAAUGAAAUCAUUUUACAACCCAAACAUAUCUACCACUUGGAACACCAUAAUGCUUAAUUUUACAUUUAUUUGAAGUAGGACCCUUUUUCAUACAAUAAAAGCAUGAUAUAAAGUUUGUGUUGCUAUAAGUGGUUCCUUUUUCUACCCAUGUUCUACAAGUUCUAUUAUUAUGCUUAUUUUUAAUUUUAGGAACAUACUUAUUUUUAACAACCUUAUUUUCAUUAUUUUUACUGCAUUCUCCUAAGGUUGUUUGUUCUAGCAGUUUCUUAAAAUUUUCACAAGAUGCACAUUCAUCAUUACUAGUAAAUUUACCUUUUUCAAAAAAUAAAACUUUAUUUUUCAAAUCUUUAUUUUCUUCAAAAAUAUUUUCAAAAUUUAAUUUUAAAUUUUUAUUUUCUUCAAGAAUAUUUUCAAAUUUUGGUUUUAAAUUUUUAUUUUCUUCAAAAAUAUUUUCAAAAUUUAAUUUUAAAUUUUUAUUUUCUUCAAGAAUAUUUUCAAAUUCUGAUUUUAAAUUUUUAUUUUCUUCAGAAAUAUUUUCAAAAUUUAAUUUUAAAUUUUUUAAAUCUUUUUUCAAUUUCUUAUGAGCUUUAUCUAAUUUUUCAGAUUCUACAAGUAAAACAGCAUAAGUUUCAUGCAAUUCACUUUCACUAUAUUGACUAUAAUUAUCAUAAUCGCUAGAUGUACUUACUUGACUUCCAGCUUCAUCAUGUGCCACUAAAUAGAUGUUUGCUUCUUCAUUAGAUUCGCUCAAAUCAGAAAUUGUUUCAUUGUCAUCGUCUCAUGCGAUGUAGGCUUUCUUUUUCUUGAAGAAUUUAUUUUCCUUUAUUUCUUCAUUCUUCUUUUGAUUUGGGCAGUCAGCUUUUAAGUGCCCCCUUUCUCCGCAACCAUAACAUUUAUAGUGUGAGGAAGAUCCUUGAUUUUCUUUCUUUUCGAAUUUUAAUCUUCCUUUGUCUUUUGAUUUCAUGAACCUGUUGAGCCUUUUUAUCAUGAGUCUCAAAUUUUCUUCAUCUUCUGAGUCUUCAUUUUCAAUUUUGUUCUUGCUCCUUUCUACCUCAGAUUUUAAGGCUAGACUUUUUUUCUUGGUUUUGGCUUUUGCUUCUUCUUCAUCAAGUCUUCCAAGAUCAAGCUCAUGCUCCCUCAACUUUCCGAAUAGUGCCGCCAUAGUCAUUAUGUUGAGGUUUUGUGACUCAGAAAUUGUAGUCACUUUUGGUUGCCACAACCUGUCUAAAGAUUUCAAAAUUUUAAUGUUAAGCUCAUCAUUGUCAAAUGACUUACCUAGUCUAGUGAGGUGAUUAACAAUGUUGGUGAAGCAUUUCUGAACGCCUGAUAUUGUUUCUCCUUACUUCAUCCUGAACAUUUCAUAUUCUUGGAUCAAGGUAUUCUUUCUCACUCUCUUCACAUCAUCUGUACCUUUGCGGGUUACUCUCAGCACUUCCCACAUUUCUUGAGCAGUCUUACAAUUUGAUAUCCUGUAAAACUCAUCAACGGUUAAGGCAGAUGAAAUAAUAUUACGAGCUUUUACAUCGUUUUGAAACCUUUUCUUUUCUUCAGCAGUCCACUGAACACGAGGCUUUGGUUCCUGCAAAUUGUUAGUAGGAAUAGACGAACCAGAUGCAAUAACAUCCCAAAUCUCACAAUCAAUAGACUCAAUAAAAAUUUGCAUUCUAACCUUCUAGAAUGCAUAGUUUUCACCUGUGAAUAAAGGUGGUCUAUUGAUCGAGGCACCCUCUACAAAGGUUUGAUAUGAUCCUGCCAUUUGAAUAACUAUCAAAUCAAGCUCUGAUGCCAAUUGUCAGAGCGCCUACAGCAGAAUGGUUAGCGUGGAAUAACAAACCAAGAGGGUUUUUAAUAUAAACGUGUGCCUUUUAAUUUCUUCUCAAUUUUCUUACUCAGCAAAUAAUAAUUAUAAAUAACGAGAGUAAGGUUGAGAGAAAUUUGCACAGAUGAUUUUUAUACUGGUUCGGAUCUUACCAAUCCUACGUCUAGUCGCUUAUCUCAAACCAAGAUAAACAGUUCACUAAGCACAAAACAAUUACCAAUUACAAUCACAAAGAAACAAUUUGUAAGAGUUUAGAAACCACCUCUCUUGAUACCACAAGAUAUGAACCUGCACCUCCUUUGAAUCUUCACAAAGGAUGAGACACCUCCUCCGAAUACUUCACAAAGGAUGAAACACCUCCUCCGAAUACAUCACAAAGGAUGAUCCUCUUCCAAACACCUCCUCAGACUCACCAAGGAUGAACCGACUAUUUCCUCUGUCACCGUAGCAACACUUCACCAGCUCCACAGACAAAAGUUUCAUAAGCCGAAUAAGAACACACUUCUCAAUAGUUUCUGAGUUCUUAAGCACAGGGGAAGAGUUGUUGUUGACGAAUAAAGAUAGUCUAUUUAUAGACUCAACCAAAAACUCUUCCAUUCUUCGAAACUGGCCAGUUAACGCUUUUAAUCGAUUAAUAUUAAUUUUAAUCGAUUAAAAUGAGUGCAACGGCUAGUUUUCACAAACCACAAAACUCCAACGGCUAGUUUUAAUCGAUUAUUCUAAGGAUUAAUCGAUUAACUAAUCGAUUAAAAAAGGUAUUAAUUGAUUAUUCCCUUGCCAGUUGAGUUUUCAGCACCUGUAAUGUUUUAAUCGAUUAAUACUUGAUUUAAUCGAUUAAAAUCGUGCGCUUUUUAUUAUGAACAACAAAUAUAAAGUAUAAAGGUAAAAGAAUCAAAUCCUACUACAAAUCUAAGUCUUAAACAUUUAAACUACAAUUAUUACAAAAGCUUUUAAUAACAAAAAUAAGUCUUCAAAGGAUCUUCGUGAAUCUUAAUAUAACUUGACUUGAUUUGGACAUCAUCAAAACUUCAUCUUCAUCAUUUUGCUAACAUAGGUCUGUAAUUGAAGCUUCAUUUUCUAAUUCUUGAGCUAAUUUAAGCAUCGGUUCACUUGAUCCUUUUUCCCUUGAAUUAUACUCCCAUGACUUCAUCUCUGGAAAGCUUCUAGUUCUACUAUUCCUAUAAAAUGUAGGUUUUGUAGGAAUAAGGAGACUCAGAGAAUGGCUAUUAAGCAUCACUACAAUGGUAGCCACGGUUGGUCUGUCAACUAAAAUUUCUUGAACACAGAGUAAACCAAUAUGAAUGCAUCUCAGCAUUUCAUGCCGUGAAUUGUUGUUGAGUGAUGGAUCUACAAUAUUUAUAGCCUUCCCUUCCUUCCAGCUUCUCUAAGCCUGCAAAAUUUGUUAUCAGAUCAUGGAUUCACUUCUACAUUAACGUUUUGGACCAUCUAAUCUUCUAAUCCAUAAUUUAGGUGGACAAGAAAAAGCAAGUGAUCAAAAAAGACUUACGAAGCUUAGCAGAUCCUCCAUGCUCUCCCCAUUAUUGAUCCCACUGUUUUUUUGGCCGCUUACAAUCUCAAGAAUAAAAUAUCUGAUUUUUUUCCUCACAUGAACCCUAAUAAUACGAAUUUUCAAUUUUUCCCUAAUCUGAUUUGUAUUUCAAGGGUUGCAUUUAAAUUUUGUAAUUUUUCCCACUUUGCCCUUUCCGAAAACCUAAUUUCACCUCCAUGCAUUCACAAUUUUUAAUACAAAAUUCAUUUUUAAUGUCACUUAUGAUUAAUGUAUGCACUGGCCAUGCCACGUAAGCUAAAGUUAAACAAUAGUUAAACGACUAUUUGUCCAAUUUGACGGCAAAACUUUAAUUGCAUCAAUUUUACAAUAACAAACAUCCAUUUGAGACACCAAAAAGAAAAGGAACCUAUUUGAAAUUGCAGACCAAAAUAGAGACCUACCAAAAUAUUAAACCUAAAUAUAAAAUAUAUGUAAAAUUAGAUUUAAAUAAAUAAUAAAAAUUUUAUGCUUUCAUAAUUUUUAAACCGACCACUUGAAUGUUGUGUUAGAUUUAUUACAUAUGACAGGGUCAAAAUGAUUAAUUUUUUGAUUUAUUACAAAUUAGUAUAAUUAAUGUAACUUUUAAAAUUCAAGUUACAUUAAUUAAACUACUUGACUUGGACAACCCUUUAUAGUGUGCAUAGAUUGGAGGUACAGCUUUCACAAUACCAAUUCCCGUCCUAUAUCAUUUUUAAGCAUGUUUCAAUGCCUCUUAAUAGUGUCAAUCAUUAUAGAUCAUAUGAAAAAAAUGUUAUAUUAGAUUUGUGCUGGUUAAAGAAUUUUUUCCUCAGCCCAGUUGCACUAAUUAUUAUAGUCAACUAUGACAGUUGGAAGAGAUCAAUUCCAAACCAAUCUUUUGCAAAUUUGUCCCACACGCUGUUGACUUGACUUUAUAGCUUAGACGACUUAAUUUAAAAAACAAUCUGAAAGAGUGAUAUAUAAUUUCAAAAUCUCUACAGUGGACCAAGUUGUGCAGAAGUUAAAGUGAAUUGCUGAAGAUUAUUCCUUAACAACUUCACCAUCUGCAGGUUCCUUUCACUUUCUCUAUUAUUUUCCUAUUGCAUACUGCAUUUAAUAUUUAACAAUCCUUUGAAAUGACAUUAGUUUCAUGUUUUUAUUAGGAGUUUAACAUUAUAUUAUCUGCUCUGCUCUAACCAUAACAUAUGUUAUCAUUUUACAUGUUAAUUUUGUUACAAUGAAUUAGGUCAAAGUACAAAUUACAGAAGAAUGACAAGUGCUCAUACAAUUUAGUUUGAAAUUUGUGCUAAACCUUUUUAUUGGAAUAAAUGAUAGUUGAUCCAACUUUAACUUCAUGUUGUUGAUCUGUAACUCUCACCAUGUUAAGUUAGGGGAAUAGUAAGGAAAUGGAGGGACAAUCAAAUAGUAAUUCACAAAAUCAAGCCAAGUAUUUAGAGACAGAAUUGACCAAGAAGCUUCAACAAGUGGUUGUAGAACUGUCUGAUAUUAAUGAGCAAUGCAUUUACAAAAUACCAGAAAAAUUUCGCCAAGGUAAUCCCAAAGCCUAUACUCCUCAAGUUGUUUCCAUUGGCCCGUUUCACAGACAGUGUGAGUCUAAUGGAGAGAACAACAAUUGGAAGAAAAUGGAAGAACUCAAACUGGAAUAUCUCCAGAGAUUUCUAGAUCGAAACAAGCAGAUAACUAUGAAGGAUUUGUUUCAAGAACUGAUUGAAAAGGAAAAGCGAAUUCGACGCUGUUAUGCAGAACCUGUUAAUUGCAACAGCAAUGAUUUCUUAACUAUGAUUCUAGUUGAUGCUUGUUUUAUAGUUGAGCAUUUUCUUAGAUUCUAUACAGGCUUGGCUUCGAUUGAAAGAGACCCUUUGUCAAAAUCAUGGUUGGUAAAUGAUGUUAUUCACGACCUGACACUACUUGAAAACCAGCUUCCUUUCUUUGUUCUUGAAGACAUAUUCAACACUGCUAAGCCUGGCAUGGAAGUUGAGUUUCCCUUUAAGAAUGUUAAAUACAUGGAUGAAUUCACUGGCCCUGUAACAGAUUUUGAUUCUCUCUCAUUUCUUGGCAUUACCUUUCAAUAUUUUCGGAAAUACAACUAUAUGAACAUAAAUGAAAACGCAAUUGAGAGUCCAAAACACUUCACUGAUCUUCUAAGAACUUUCAUGCAACCAUCAAAAAUUUGUCAUGAAAAUCUGAAAGUGGGAUAUAUGGUUAAACAUCUACCAAGCGCAAGCCAACUAUCAGAGGUGGGUUUGAUAUUCAAGGCUAGUUCUAACAAAUGCCUGUUUGACUUCAAAUAUCAUCGUCUUAGGGGUGUAAUGGAAAUGCCGUGCUUAACUAUUCAAGACAGAACAGAGAUGACGUUGAGGAAUAUAUUGGCAUUAGAACAAUGUCAUUACGUUCUUUCACCCAACAUUACUCAGUACUUAUUCUUUCUGUAUUUUCUUAUCAAGACUGAGAAAGAUGUGAACAUACUAAUUAAUAAGAAAAUUAUAGUGAAUUGGAUGGGUGAUGCAGAUGCUGUGGCUAAAAUGUUUAACAAUCUUUGCUCAAAUGUUAUUGUGUCAUAUAUUAGUGAAGAGUAUUGCUUGCUCUAUGAUGACUUGAUUAAAUUCCAUGAAAAUCCUCACAACAAAUACAAGGCUAUCUUUUAUCAUGAGUACUUCAACACUCCAUGGAAAAAGGCAUCUACAACUGCAGCAGUUCUACUGCUUUUGCUUACUCUAAUUCAAGCUAUUUGUUCAGUCAUCUCAGUAUUUUGAGGGUAAGAAACUAUGAUACACUAAAUCCUAAGUAUACUGUUGUGAUAUUUCUUACGAAGACUCUUUUAUUAGCAAAUUGUAUCUUUCUUACAACAAGGAUUAAAAUAACAUGUGUCAAUUUUAUGUCUCCUUUCUUCUCUUUCCAAUGAUUGUCAUGGUAAUUAUUAUGACACAUAAGCAUAGAAUAGAAUUAACAUGCUCAGAAUUAGAAAUAAACUCACUUGUAUAUAUAUACUUUGUGUUUGCUUUGGCCCUUUAGUAAUUCUUUUUCACUUCAAUUAAUGUAACACAGUACAAAAAGGAAUUAACACUAUUAGUAGCACAUUUUUAUCUUCCACCAAACUCGUUAAUCAAAGGAUGACCAUCCUCCAUCAUGCAGUUUACAACUUUCCCUACCUCCUAUCAAAGCAAACCAACCUCGUAUUAGGUUUGUACAUGGUUUUCUCUUUUACCUUUACUUGUGGAGAAUUUAAAGGUAGCAGCUUGAAGAUCUUGAAAACUGAAUACAUUUAACAUGAAGGAAACAGAGUAUGAGGUAUUAGGAAAAUUCGUGGUAAAGUUUUAGUGAAGGAUUAAAAGUAUUAAAAAUAGAUGGAAACAUAAAGCGUGAGACUAUAUCUAGAAACAUAAAGUGGCAAAGAUGGAAAUCUAGCCUAGUUCUGCAUCUUCAUCUGCUAUGAGAACAUCAAAUCCUUAUUUCCAGGUCAGUAAUGGACGAGUUGUUUUGGCAUGAUUCACUAGGUUACCAUCGGAAUCAUAGAUAAUAACACCAGAGAAAUCAGGGAGUUGACAUUUCCCUCCCAUGAGUAUGUUCCUCUGCCAAAGUGAACCCUCUUCUUGUUGCUCACCGCAAGUGCCCAUCACCUUUUCAUUGUUGAAUUCUAUGACAGGUUCUUCUUCAAAGGCAUAGCAAGAGACCCACUUGCGCCAUUUGCGUGAAUGAGAAGCACACAUGAGCAAUGCAAUGGCACACACCAUAAGGGUCAUGACAGUGAAGCCAAUGUGUGAAAUACUUGGUAGAGGGUGGAUCAUUACAAGUGGCCGAGCCAUGACAAAGUCAAAUAUGAAAGUGUGAUGAUAUGUUUGAAAUAUGAAGUUGGUAUGAAAAAGAUGAGUAAAUACAUCCAUAUAUAAGGUCCUGUGCUUUGAUUUUUAAUUCUGAAGUAGAAAAUGUAGUUGGUUCUUUUGGGGUUUGUUAGCAUUUGGUUUUUGAGGUUUUGUUAUUUACUGAACUCGGGGAAGAGGUUUAGGUUUUUAAGUGUAGCAGUUGCGAUUUGUGUCAAGAAUAUGCAUAAAAUGUUUUCAAUCAAAAUGAAACUUUGGGGAGAAAAUAAAGAAACACGGAUAAUAACAGAAAAUUAAGGUCAACAAAGUAUUAUGAUUUUAUUUAAGUUUUAUCUAUCGUUUACUCUUGAGAAGCAAUUUUUGUAAGGACAAUGAUAUUUAGACAACAUUUUUUUGACAACAUUUAAACAUUGAUUACGUGUCAAUAUGUGAUUGGUAAAAAAUUAUUGCACAAUAAUGUUUAUGAUUAUUAUUAUUGAUUGUGGAGUAAUUUUUGACCAAUUACACAUUGACACAUGAUCAAUGUUCAAAUGUUGUCAAAAAAAUAUUGUCUAAAUAUCAUUAUCCUUUUUGUAAUUUUCCACUGAUGAUAAAGUUAACUCCUUUAUUUUCUUGAGAAAUUAUCUUGUUAAAUAAGAUUCUAUUAAAUUUUAACUUUAAAACCUUUCAGCCAUAAUUAUUACGUGAAAUUGUUAAUUUAUUUCAUAAAUGAUACAUGUUUUGAUUUUCUAUUUCUAUGACAACAAGAUUUUUUUAUCAUCCUCAAACAUGUCUUUCUUAUAAUAAUAAUAAUAAUAAUAAUAAUAAUAAUAAUAAUAAUAAUAAAUUAUUGUUAUUUUUAAUCUUCUUUUUAAUACAUCACAAUUGUUAUUAUUACUUAAGUUUCUUUUCAUUUUUUAUUUAUUUUAAAAAAUGAAGACAUGGAUGGAUUGUUUUUUUUUCCUAAUUAGUUAUUAUUAAUCGAAUAUGGAAAUUUUCACUGAGCUAAAUGUACUAAUAAUACCAUAAAAGUGUCUAGAAAUAUUCUAACAUAGGGUCUAAGAGAUGAAGAGCUUAAAAUUUUAUUUAAAAUUUAAAAGUAUUAAGGAACGAAAGCGUGACUCAAAUGGCGUAAAAAGGAGAGGAAAUAAAAUAUAUAUAUAUAUAUAAAAAAAAAAAAUCCUCCUGCUAAUUCCUUGAGAUUGAAAUUAAAGAAAUUUUAUAUUAAAAAUUAGGAUAAUGAUGCUUUGACAAUAUUUUUUUUACAACAUUUUAAUAUCAUGUGUGUUAUUCUGUGAUUGGUCCAAAAUUACUCCAUAAUCAAUAAUAAUAAUCAUAAACAUCAAUAUAAACCAAUCAUAAAAGGACACAUAGAUGGUGUUAAAAUGUUGUCAGAGUAUCAUUAUUCUAAAAAACUAUAUGUAACUGUAAGUUCCAGUGAUACUUUAUAUUAAAUUUUGGAAUUUAAAAUAUAUGUCGAGUUCGGUAUGAGAGGUGGACAAUUUUUUUCUAUUGUUACGGGUUAGUUAGAGUUUAAUCAAUCCUUUGUUAACAAUAUUUUGUUUCUUUUAUUAAUUUUGGAAAAGUUGUGGAGGGUUUGUAAUAUUUGAUUCCGAAAAUAUUUAUAUCAUUUUAAUUUUGGAAAAGGUAAGAUUCUCUCUUCACUCUCCAAUGUUUUGAGUUUCUCUAUUCUUUCUUCACUUUCUCUCUAACUUCUCUUUUUUUUUUUUCCUGAUGAAGCAAAAAAGGUCAUCUUCGACGAAACAAUCCAGCGAGACUCGAAUGAAGCAAUGGAAAAUAUGGGAGGAAGGUAUUUCUGCUAUUCUUUUUCUCCUUUCGCAUUUUCUCUUUCCCCUUUCCUUUUCCCCUUUCCUCUUUUCCAUUUCCCAUUUUUCAUUUAGUCUUUCCUUUUUUCCCUUUGUCAUUUUGUGUUUCUUGUUUUGUUAAUUAUUUUUUAGAUUAUUAUUCUAAACCUUCCUAACAUCAAUCUAAAGUGUUUAUGAUCUAAUUCCUAUUCUAAAACAUCAAAUUCCUCAACUUAUGGACCUAGAUUUCAAUCUACUACUAUGAACCUAUUUUAUACCAUUCUAACACCUCAACGCAGUCACAUUGGACUUACCAAAACCUCCGUUGCAAACCAAAAGCACACCAAGUCUCAAUUGCUAAAAAUCACUAUCCCACUUCCUCUAAAUGUACUCAAAACAUGUAUAAUCCAAUUCAUCCUCUAUCUAAUUACUCCUUUCAUAGAUUUCACACAUCAAAUAUGAUCAAUUACAACUGUACACCCCAUCCAAAUCAAUUUCACAAUCACUAUUUCACACAUUCACAAUUUAACAUCUCAUUACAUACAUUUUAGUUUACUCAAAACCUGAACAUAACUCUAACAGCACCACACACAGAAUUCAUCAUACACACACAAAAUUCAUCAUACACACAAGUCAUAUUACUGAUUUAAAACAGAAACUCAGCUUCCCUUACCUCAGCUCAAGUUCAACACCGAUUACAGAACCCCGAUUGAAGCUUGCACCACAAGGAAACUCAACAGAAACCUACAACUCACUGAUUGAUGAUAGGAAAACAACCUUAGAACUUAAUUUGAGCUAGAAAUUUAAGAAGACAGCAACCAAACACAUUCGACCAGAAACUCUUUACAUGAUUAUGGUUAAAGACGUACGAGAAAAGAGAAGAAACAACUUACCGACUUAGAACAAGAAAUUGAUCGGUCUAGAUUGUUGCCCUUGACGUCAGGAUCGUCUAGGCACCUCCUAAUCGUCAAACCAAACACCCCAAAUGAUAGAAGAUCUAGAGAGAAGGCAGAGAAACCCUAGGUGAAUAGUGUUCUAGAGGGAUAGAAUUGUUUUAGAUAAUGAGUCAAGCUUUAAAAAGUUCUAUUUACAUUAAAAGAUUAUUUUAAAAUAACUUGCUCGUCUCAUUGUUUUAAUACACCUAUCUACUCUAAUAUUUUAUUUUCUAGAUUUUUACAAUUUAUCUCUCCAAUCCAAUGAUAUAAUAGAUUACCAAAAAAAACAUCAACAUGAAGGCAUAAACUAUACAAGGAAAUGAACAUAAGAAAUCAACAGAAAAUAAUUUACAUACGGAAAAAGCUAUAGAUUUCAUUCUUAGCUAUAAGCUUUCACAUAAAUCGAUCCCCAUGUCAACAUCCACUAAAAUGAGUUUAGUGGCUCCUAAAAGAUAUCAUAAUUGGUAUUGGAAAAGUAGCUAUAUAUAAGAGUGAAAAUUAAUUUGAUUCUGAUUUAAAAUAAAUAUAAAUUUGCCCAUUUCCUAACGUACACAUAUCAAAGCGGCUUAAGGCUAAUCGUCAUUAUCCACCUCCACAUUUCAAACCUACACCUCCCCAUUUUUUUUAACUUUUCAUUAAUUACAAAACUAACCUUUUUUUAUUUUUUAUUUUUACUUUUUUAACCCUUUUAAUUAAGUAACCCUAAUUUUUACUUUACUUUCUAUUUCAGCUUUCACUUUCACAUACUUUCGAAACUUUCGAAAACAGUCCCACCUCCCCUUCCCUUCGCAUUCACACCCCCAAGCUCCACCUUUUCUCAACUUUUCCAGUCAUCUCUUCCUAUGCUUUGUUAGCUUUUGGUGUGUGCGACGGUCCGGCGGUUGUGUGCGGCAGUCCGAUGAUUGUGUGCGGCGGUGCGGCACGUUGGUCGUGGCUCUGUAGUUGCGUUUUUGCCUGCGGGUGUGUGCGGCGUGGUGUGUGCGGCAGUGCGACUUGAGUGUGUGACGGCGCGGCGCGGUGGUGUGGGGCUUCGUUUCGUUGCGCAUGAUUGUGUUGAUUUCUUGGUUUGUAAAUGUAUGUGAUUUAGGAUUUAAGAUUGUAUUGAUUUUGCUCUGUUUGUGCGCGAUUGUUGUUUGCUUCGUUUCGUUUUGUGCUAUGAUGUUUCUGGUAGAAGUUUGUGUGUGCGUAGGAGGAAGAAGAUAGACCUUAACAUCCAUUUCAGGGCUAAACAGAAGUCGACAUCGUUUAGGGCCUGAUUUUUUAUUUUUAAGUUUUUAGUUUAUUUUAUAAGUAAUUAAUUUUUAACUUUUUAUUUUCAAAUAAUUUUGUUACUUAAUUAUUUUGUUUUAAUUUUUUUAUUUUAUUAGUUUAUUGUAUUUUUAAUUAAUUUAUAGAGUAUUUAAAAAGUUAGGUUUUUAGAAUUAAAAUUAAUCUAUAUAAUAGCAAUAUAAAUAAAAAAUAUAAAUAUAAAUUAAAAAAGAAGAGAUAAAAGUGGGAUGAGGAGGUGGAGGUCCAAAAAUGUGGAGGUGCAGGAAUCAACACCCAUAAAAAUAUCUCCGAUGCAACUACGCUGACAAACGUAACAGAGUAGCUUUCAUGAAAAGGAUGAAAGGCACACGAAGCUUCUAGAGCGCGCUGUUCUACCGCCUUUGAGACACGUCGGUUGCAAAAGAGGAAGAAGACAAUCUUGAUGAGAGUAAUGAGACAUGUAAGAAAAAUCCUAUCUUUUCUUAUUUCUGUAAGCUGAAACUUUUAUUAUUGUUAUCUGUUACAAAAUGAAAUGGGGGAAGCUCUAUUUAUAGAGUUACUUGUGAAAUAAGGGAAAAACUAAAACUAACAAGGAAAGCCGAACGAAAGGAAAACAUAUUACUAAAGUCUUAAUAGGUAAAAGCGUUGGGAUUGAGUUAGAGUGAAUAAAAAUUACAGAGUAGCUUAAUGAGAGCAAAAAGAAACUGUGGAAUAAUAAAAAAAAAAUACUGAGUGUAUUUAUUUAUUUUUGUUUAUUAGGUUUUAAAACCUUAAUUGUAAAAAGUAUAAUAUUUAAAGAGUCAAAGAAUGAAUGUAAAGAGAAAAAAAAAAACUAGCAAUAGAAGAUUAAAAAUAGUAAACCAGAAUAACUUGGAGAUGUCAUUGUUUGUUAUUAGAAACUAAAAAAACUAAAAAGUGUUUAAAAAAACAUUUUUUAAACACUUUUAAGAACUAUUAACGACUUUUUUUUUUGUUUAUUUGGUUUUUAAAGGGAAAACAAUUUUGAAAAACAGAAAUUGCAAUUAUAAUUUGAGGUCUUAAAGUGAGUAAAGAAAGUACUAUUUUAGUUUACAUACGAUGACCAUAUAAAUAAAAUUUAUAGCGACAGUUACCAACUGAAACUAUCAUUAUUUAUUAAUUCUAUUUUACUUACAAUACCUCGAAACCUCUUGCGACCUUUUAUCCAUGGAUCUGACUAAUGCUAUUAUUGUAUAUUCGGGAUAAAGAAAAUCAAACACUGAUUUUUAUAUUGCUUCGGACAAUAAUGUCUACAUCCAGUGUCCUUCCAACUUUGGAAGCAAAUGCACUAUAAUGGUUGCGGUUUUUACAACAAUGAAUUUAUAAAAGCACCACGUAAAAAUAUAAAUUUCCUCUCUAACCCAAAACCAAAUAUAGCUGCACACAUAAAACCAGAAUUGCAGCAAGAAUCCCCUCUUCUACAAUCUGCACCCACGUUGAACAAUCCUUAAUGUGUCACCAACACUCUUCACAGGAUGCCAAGCCUAUCACAGCACGUUUCACAUGUUGCCAAGCCUAUUAGCACACUUCACAGGUUGUCAAGCCUUCAGUCAAAUACAGUAGUCUUCACAGGAUGUCAAGCCUUCAAGAUCAAACCAGAAGCACCUUCUUUGUGCAGAUGUUGAUCAAACAGUAAGCGCAAUUGACUCCUCAAUCUGAAUCUCUCUCAAGGAAGAUCAUCACCGUCUUCUUGGAGAAUUCUUGGAGCUUCCUAAACUGAGAGCUUUCUAUGAAACAAGACAAUGAAAAUGUUAGAUUACAAAAGCCUCAGAACAAUUCGUGUUCUGUUCUAUUUAUAGUUUUCCUGUCAGCCUCAGUCGAAUAGCCUACUAGUACAGUCGGCUGUAUUAAACAGUUAUAACAGACAGUCAACACACAGACUCCUCAGUCAACAAAAUGUACAUUUAUGACAGUUGACUCAGUUAGUUAAUCCUAACUAACUUUUGAAAAUAUAGUCGUUGGAGCAAGUAGGCAAAACAAAAUUCCAAAAUAAACAGCAACACAAUCGAAUAAGUAUUUCACACUGUCGACUGACUCAUGAAAAAUCACUUUGAAAUUCUUUUCAACUCAAAAUCUCAUCAAGUACAUGUUCACAAAAUCUGUACAAAGAUUUUAGCUUAGUCAAAUCCAUUACCAGUAUAGUCGCCUGAACUAGACCUUUGUCACAACAAAUAUCAGUUCAUAAAAGUACUUGUGAGCUUUUCUUCAGAAAUGUGCAGAAGUAAUCAAAAUCAUUUUAACACAUACAAGCAUGUUCCAAACAAGUAUGUUCCAAACAUAUAACACAUAAUCAAUCAUAGGAACAUACAUGCAAAUUAACAAAACAUGUUCAAUAAAAGCAUUGUUCAAAUCAGUAUAGCAUAUCAAUUGAACAUGUAACACUAGAACAUAUGUACUGUUAUUAAACAAUGUGUUGUCAUCAUCAAAAACCAAUUUAAUAUAGAGUUUGUGUUGUCAACAAUCUCAACAACCUUCACUAAGAAAGGUAAUAAGAAACUAUUGCUUUUAUGAAUAUACUUCCAUAACACUGUAAAGAGGGAAUAACGGACUCAAACUCAUGCUUUAGUCUGAAUUAGACAGGAUAUUUUCUUAUAAAUGUUUUACAAGAUAUGAAAAUUCCCGUUAUAACUAACUAAUCAACUAAUUGUAACCCUUACCAUACAUCUUAUUUCAUAGAAGUGCCAAGUUAAAUUUCAACUAUUUUAAGCUAAAUAAGAAAUUAAUUUGUUGUUCCUCUUAAUUUCACCACCAUCAUCUAAGCUUAUUGUUAUGGUGGAAAGCGUUAUCAAAGCUAAAUUACAAUAAUUUCUACUGCUAGAUUAUUUUUAUGUUUGAAUAAUGAUUCUUACUCGUUUUGAUGCAUUUCAAGGACUGGAAUGUUAUCAGGUGUUAACUUUUCACUUCCCAUCGACACAUUUUAUAAAACCCAAACUUUGAAUAUUACUUUUAAACGGGGACACCACAACCAAAAUAACAAUACAUAAUGAGAAACCACAACGAAAAUAACACCUAACUCCAUGAGAGAGGGGACCACUAGUAUGAACUCAUUCCAUAAACAGACAAGCAAUACACCAAAGUGUUAAAACUAAUUAUUUUAAUAAUUAAAACUUUAGUAACUAAUGUUAAAAACUUAUUUACAAAACAAUUAUAUUCUUUUUUAUUCAUAAUAAAAACUAUUUUAGUUACUAAUUAUUUUAGUUUAUAAAUUAGGAUCUAAAUAGAUUACAUGAUUAAUAUUUUUUGUCACUAACAUUAUUUAUAUUUAGAGACCUUUUUUAGUAACAUAUUAUAAAAAUAAUAAUUUUCUAAGUCGUCCAAACAAAUAAUUCAAUAUUUAAUAUACAUUAUUAAAUAUUAAAUAUUUGUGUUAAAACAGAAGCUAAAAAAAUACAAAAAGUAAGCAUACAUUUAUUUUAAAGUUUGACUAAAAAAAUUUUAACCAAUUAAAUUUUUUGUUCCUAAAGUAUAAAUUAUAGUUUUAAACAUGUUCGUAACUUUUGGAUUUUAUAGGUGAUAAUAGGAAUGACUAUAUAAUUUAUGCUAUAAUUGCCCAAUAAUAAAUUUUUAUAAAAUUUUUAUAAUUUACAUUCUAUAAUUUAAAACUAUUUGAAGGAUUAAAAUUAUUUAAUCCUUAUGAUAUUAAAUAAUUUGAAAUAUUUUUUUUAUUUAGUUUUUAUGUUUUGAACAAUUUCAAAAAAUUUCACAUUAGAUAGUUUUUAAAAGACUCAUUUUAAGUAUGUCUCAUUAGAGGCUCAAAUCUUAACCAUAUUGAAAAUUUAUAAUCAACUACCUAUGUCUAUGCUAGGUAGUUCAUGAACCUACUUUCAACCUCAUGCACAAACCUCUUUCAACUUCUUACUUAGGUGACUUAAUGUUCUUUAUCAAACCAUUAGUAAAAGAUAUUAUAACUUCAUUUCUUAAUAAAGGUUUUUAUUAAUUCUAUGAAUAUUAUCUCAAGUAUCCUCAUUAUACAUCCAUAAAAGUAAACACACUUAUGAGAGACAACACACCCAUAAAAAGUCAUGUCCAUGAUAACAUAUCAUACAAGUAUCACAAAAUAUAUAUAACCACACAUGCACACAUCACACCUAUGAUUCAUCUCAUCAUUAUCAUCAAUAUAUGUAUCAAUAUGCAUAUCACACAAUAAUCAUAUACACUAAUAGUUAAUAAUAUAUUAAUAUCACCAUCUUCAUCAUCGUAAGUGUCACUUAAUUAAAUGAGAGUCAAAUCCUUAAAGAAAACAAUAUACUGAUGAUAAAAAUUUCUUUACUGAAUAUUAAUUUCAUAUAUAGUUUGCAAUUAUUCCGACACAUACACAAAGAUGUACGUAAACAUUCAACAUGCUUACAACAAUAGCACUCUUGAUAUCACCCUUAAUAGGGAAUGAAUUACUUACCCAAAUUCUCAUAUAUUCAGUAUGAUUUUUGCCACCUCGUCAUCUGAGAACAUAACAAAGUUAUGAUUAUUUUUUAACUUCAGGAAGAUUAAAAAACUAAAAUUUUAGAAAAUAAAAUUACAAUACAACAAAAUAUAAAUACCUAUAUUAUAUUUAUAAAUUUUCUACUUUUUUCCACAUAAAAUUCACCUUUAUUCAAGCAUAGUUCUUACAAUAUAUUAUAAUAUGAAGAACCAUAUAUUCGUAUUAUCUCAUUAAAAUUAGAGAGUAACCUAACGGGAGCAAAAGGAAAUUGUGAAAUAAAAAAAAAAAUACUUUUGUAUAUUACUUUUUGAGAACUUAAUUAUAAAAAAUCUAGUAUUUAGAGAGUAAAAGAAUGGAAUGUAAAGGAAAAAACUAUCAAUAGAAAUUAAAAAUAGUAAACCAAAAUAACUUAGAGAUGUCAUUUUUUUUAAACUGACAUAUCAUUUUAAACACUUUUAAAAACUAUUUAUAACAAUAUUUAUGUUUAUUUGGUUUUUAAAAAAAGGAAAAUAAUUUAAAAAAAACGGGGAAUUUUAGUUUAUUUCAGGUCUUAAAGGGAGUGAAGAAAGUACUAUUUUAGUUUACAUACUAUGACCAUAUAAAUAAAAUUUAUAGCGACAGUCACUAUUAUAACUGAAACUAUCAUUAUUUGUUAAUUAUAUUUGAAUCAAUGAAAAAUACAACAUGAGUUAUAAAUUAGGAUGUCUGAAAAUAUGAUGUUACAAUACCUCGAAAUCUCUUGCUGCCUUCAGUACUUCACAGAACAUCGUUUGCUUUUGAAUAACAACAUUUGUCUGAGGUUUUUCUUUCAAGAAGUAGAUCUUCUGAAUAACAUUAAGCCCACUAUCAUCCAAAAGCUUAUAACAAAUCCAAAUGGCAUGGCGAUAUAAAAUUCACGAUUGAAAAAGGAAUACUCAUCUUCCUGAAUUUCAUUUUUUGGCUCUUCUACUGGUAUUUUGCUAAUACACAAUUUAUCAAGCGGUGAUCCACAUAGAUUCAGAUUAUCUUCAUAGCUCGAAGCAUUAAAACUUUGCAACUGUGUGCUUUGAGGAAUCAUACCAACUAGAUGGUUAUGUGAUAAAUCUAACACACUCAAUCGAUCAAUUUCAAUCAGACUGUUAGGAAUUGAACCAACUAGUUCAUUUCUUGAAAUAUCCAAAAAUUCAAGUAAUGACAGUUUUCCAAUAUUGGAAGGAAUUUCUCCACUCAAAUUGUUUCUUGACAAAUUCAACGAAACCAAUCCAAUUAAGAUUUCAAAUUCUUUUGGAAUUUCUUCUGAGAAGUAAUUGCUUGAGAGAUCAAUGCUUUUUAAAAGUAGUAAUACACUAUUCUUAAACAUUUGAUGUGAACCUUUCCACGUCAAGAAUGUAUUCAAAUCAUAACUUUGAAGACCAAAGAAAUGUGAGGUCUGAACUAUAUACUUAUGCCAAGGACCUCCUUCCGGAUAUGUCUUUUGAGUCAUUGAAGUAAAUUUUUUUAUGCACUUAGGAAUUUGACCAGACAAUUUGUUUAGUGAGAGAUCUAAGAGUUGAAUAUUUCUUAGAAAACAAAUUUGCAAUGGUAAGUUUCCUCGGAACUGAUUCCUUCUUAAACUUAAAUAUUCCAAGUUUCCUAAUUUUUUCCCAAUCCAACCAGGGAUAGAUCCUGAUAAAUUGUUUUCUGCAAUAUCUAUCAUCACUAGUUUUGUACAAUGCCUUAAGGAGAAAGGAAUGUCACCUAUCAAAUUAUUGUUUCUCAGAAACAAUGCUCGAAGAUCAUGGAGGGAUCCCACUGAAGUAGGAAUCUUUCCUGACAACUGAUUUUGACUCAAAUCCAUAAAAGCUAAUGACUUGAAAUGGCUCCAACAAUCUGGAAUUUGUCCAGACAAGUUAUUAUUUGAAAGGUCUAACUGGUAUAAUAUUCCAAUUGGAUCACCCACACAUAAAAAUGAAAGAGAGCCUGAGAACUUAUUAUUGGAUAAAUCAAGCAAUGUGGAACUUCUAAGAAACGGGGGAAUAGGGCCUUCAAAUUGAUUUGAUCCAAGAAUUAGAGAAGAAUAAGGAUUCUUUGUUGGAAAAUACGGAAUUAUACCAUAUAGACUAUUGCAUGAAAUAUUCAUUGAAACCCAUUUUCGCAAUGCUAAUUUAGUCCAAAACAACUUCGGAACCAUAUCUGAUAUUCCAGCAUUUGAAAUAUCCAAAUCGCGAAACUCAUUUUGUGUUUGUAACCAUUUGGGGAAUGUUGGACCCAGGAUGCAUGAUUCCAAUCCUAUUUUCCUUAAUUGAAAAGGUGAGACCCAAUUUUGAGUAAAUGUCAAGGAUAAUAAAGAAUUUCCAGAUAAGUCUAACGAAUAUAACUUUGACAAAUUGGCAAAUUGGUAAUCACUUAGCACACCCUUUAAGGAGUUUGAUUGCAUAUACAGUUCUUCCAAUUGAUGUGGAAAUUGAAUAUCAUUAGGAAACUCCCCAUUCAACUUGUUUCCAUCAAGAUACAGACUUUUUAAAGACAAGAAAAUUGAGAGGUCAGGUAAUGUACCAUUGAUUUGGUUCCUGCCUAGAUUUAAGUUUUCCAAUGAAUAUCUAGCACACCCAGAUAAGUGAUGGACUAUCAAUGGAAACUCUUCACUCAAGCUAUUGUUAAACAUAUUCAACCACAGCAAAGCACAUGCAUUGCCAAAUGAUUUUGGAAUUCCACCUUCUAAAGUAUUUGAUCGAAUUGAGAGAAACUCCAACUGAGAUGGCAAUUGGUUACCUUCUGGUAUCUCUCCACUUAACUGAUUUUUCGAAAGAUCUAGUAUUUGCAGGUUUGAAAAUCCUGAAAGGUCAGGGAAUGUGCCAUUGAUAUUAUUUCCUGGCAACGCCAAAUAUUGUAGCGCGUUUUUAGCACAUUCAGACAAGUGCUGGAAUAUCAAUGAAAACUGUCCACUCAAUCUAUUAUAAGACAUGUGCAAUGAGCGUAAAGUGCAUGUAUUUCCAAAUGAUUUUGGAAUUUCACCUUCUAAAAAGUUGUAUGAGAGUGACAAUGACUCCAAUCGAGAUGGUAAUAUGCUUUCAGGUAUCUUUCCAGAUAAUUGAUUGCUAGAAAGAUCUAAUAUUUUCAAAGUUGUGAAUAUGGAGAAAUCUGGGAAAGAACCAUUGAUUUUGCUAAAUGAGAGAUCUAAUAUUUGUAGUGAAUUUCUAGCACAAGCAUUAGACAAAUUAUGAAGAAUUGGUGAAAGACUUUGGUUCAAACUGUUUCCACCCAUGCUUAAAGAUUUUAAGGUGCAUAUAUUCAUGAAAGAUUGAAAAACCUCAACCUUGAAUCUGUUAAAUAAGAGGUUAAGGUGCUCAAGUGAAUUCAUUACAAGAUCAAAGUGAUUUGGUACAGAACCCUCUAUGAGAUUAAGACUAAGGUGAAGCUCAACAAGGUUGGGAGUGAAGUUUGCCACCCAUUGGAAUAUCAUUGUUGACAUGAGGGUGUUCUCGGAUAGAUCAAGGACCGUGAGGGAAGUAGAAAAAUUCAAUAUAGAUGGCCUCGAUGAACGGAAAAAAUCAUCAGUAAGGCUACAAUUUAAUAAACUUAGUUCCCUUAAUUUUGGUAGCUUACCAAUCAUUUGCGGAGAAUGAUAAAGAUUUGAUAUGGAUGAUAAGUAAAGAUGGGUUAAAGAAAUGAGAUUAGAUAACCACUGACCUCCAUCACCAAUUUUUAGAGCGCCACCAUUUCCAAUAUAAAGCUCAUGUAAGUUUGACAGGUUUCCAAGUUGACUUGGUAUAUUCCCUUCAAAAAUAUUGUACCUGAGAUCAAGAUGUUGCAACUGAAAGAGGUUUCCAAGUUGACUUGGUAUAUUCCCUUCCAAAUGAUUGUGGCGGAGAUCAAGAUAUUGUAAGUGAGAGAGAUUUCCAAGUUGAAUUGGUAUAUUCCCUUCAAAUCUAUUGUUGUUGAGAUCAAGAUGCUGCAACUGAAAGAGGUUUCCAAGUUGACGAGGGAUUGGACCCUCCAAAAAAUUAUCAGCGAGACUUAAGUAUUUCAAAUGAGAAAGAGACCCAAAUUGGGUUGGAAUUUUUCCGUCAAAACCACAUGAUGAAAGAUCGAGGUAUCUCAAGUUGCUAAGAGAGCCAAUAAACUCUGGAAUAUUACUGUCUGGAAAAGAAUUGAAACUAAGGUUCAAAUAUUCUAACUGUGGCAACUCCAUCAACGACUUGUGGAUCUCUCCGCUCAUAUAACGUCCUGAAAUAUAUUCGAUGUCAAAAUUGAAAUAAUUUUCUCCGUGGAGAUCGAGCAUUAGAAUAUGGCCGGUGAGGUUGCUGCAGCGAAUUCCCUUCCAUCGGCAACAGUGGGGAGUUGUCCAAGAAGAGAGGAUGCCAUAGCGAUCUACAAUGGCAGCCUUGAAUCGGAGGAGUGCUUCCCUCUCUCUCUCUCUGCAUCUUACUUCCUUUUCACCAUAAACAACAUCCGUCACCAAACACACCAUAAACAUCAUCAACAUAAACAUCAUGAAUUUGAUACCAAGUGGUUUCCUCAUCAUCACAACAAGUUAAUGGAUCAAACACACUCUAUAUUAGAAAUAGAUUGGUACUGUGACUUUAGCUCUGUCUAUAACCAUAUAUAUAACACUUCAUGCAUCCAUAAAAAAAAAGUAAGAAUUCUAAUAUGUUAAAUUUUUCUUCAAAUUUUUGUGUGUUAAAUUAUGUUCUAUGUCGGACAAGAGAAACAAAGACGAAAGACUUAGAAAAAGACUUCGGUAAAUCACAUUCGAUAAACAACAAAAGUAGAAGUUGUUAUGAAGUUACAUGAUCCCCUUAUAGAUGUGACUUUGCAAAUAAAAAACAAAAAGAUAAUAUGAAACCUAUCACAUUGGGUUAACAUUAAAUGUGCAAAAAUUAUAUGAAAUGGUCCCUUAUACGACUUUGUAUGAUUUUUUUGCAUAAACAAAAAACAACGUUGUCAUCCCCAUACGUGACCCCCUCAUCGAUAUGACUUUGCAAGUAAAAAACAGAGAUAAUAUCCAACCUAUCAUAUUAGAUUAAACACUAAUUGUGGAAAUUUUACUAGGUGACAUGGUCCCUUAUACGACUUUGUAGGAACAAAACUAAAAAAAAUACCUUGAAAAUUCAAUGCAAUAAAAGUCUAAAAUUUAUAUUUCAUUAGUCUUGUAUAAACAAAAUAGUAAGCACCUAUUAUUGAUUGCUUUGCAUAUAGAGUUUUCUAGUCCAUGUAAGGAUUUUUGCACUAGUUAUUUUAGAGAUUAUGCUUCAGUUCUUUAAUCAAAACGUUUGUUGACAGGAUAAAAAUACAUAACAUUAGGUAUCGAUUCAUAACUGAAGCCUAUUUUUAACUUUAUGGUUCAGUUCCUUUUUGAACCAAAACCUAAUCCUAUAUUUUUUUUAAAAAAAAAUAGUUUCUUCUCAUUUUUAUGUUUUUUUCCAUCAUAGAAUUACUGUGCUCUCCAUCAACAAACAAAGUCACCACUACUUUUCCCAUCUUCACAUUGAAUAAAAGAGAUUAAGAAAAUAUUUGCAUUAGAAAACACGAAUUAUGAAAAAAAAAUGCAAGACGAAAGAACAAACCUCUAACUGCUUUCGAAAUGGGAAGAAAAGUGAUGUUUGUAGUGACAACACGGCAACACACUUCACGUUAGUUAGGAGGAAGGGAAAGGAAAGUGGAGGAGUGACGGCGAAAAUGGUAGCGUGGUUUGUGUUUGACAACAAGGAAUGGAGCAAAGUGACUCUUGUACUGUAGAAAUGAUGCAGCGCUACAAAUGAAAAAAAAAAAAACUUUGAUAGAAAUAUAAUUUUAACCCUAACAUAUGGUUUUCCAAAUAAUUUCAAUUUACAAAAAUAUCACUAAUGACAUUUUUGAAAUUAUUUGAAAGACUAUAAGUUUUGGUUCUUUUAAAGAACCGAAACAUACAUUAUUAUAGGUUUCAAUUAUUUUAGAACCAAAACCUAUAAUUAGUACAAAAUUUUCAAAAAUACUAAGGCAUUUUGAAAGACUUCGUUUAGAUAUGAUGGUUAAUGUAUUGUAUGACUCUCCGGUCAAUAUUUUCAAAGUUGACUGAUUGGUAAACAUUUUCAAAAGAAUAUUGAAGACUUACCUAAUUCUAAGAUUUUGUAGAUCGGACGGUUUCUUUUCUAGUCGAUCGGUGAUUCUACUGUUAAGAUAAAUAACACAAACUCAACAUGUUCAACAAGUAAAAGUAGGUAAAACACACUUAUCGGCUUUUGGGCUGUAAUUGGGUCAACCCUAAUUAAAAGUUCACUUUGAUACCUAUAAAUACAGAGGUAAGGUAAGGAGGUAGGUGAUUGCAUUUAUUGCAAAUUUAAGAUUUUACUAUGAUAACCGAUCAGAUACAUUUGACUUACUUGAGCGUCAGAGUGUCUUUGACAAGUACCCACCCAUUUGGCUUGGAGACUGGAGGAGGAAGACUAAAAAUUAUUUUGAUAGACCCAUGAUAACGUUAAAAAGACUAACAAAAAGGUGUGAAAGGAUAGUUCUCGACCCCAUAUCUGAAACAUUUUGGCACCCACCGAGGGGCCCGAGGACAAACAAAGAAACCUAAUGGUGACCUGAUAACGGUUCAAAAACCGUUAUUUUCAUACUUAAAUUUGACAUUAAACACACCCUUUAUGACUUAGAAUUAGCUUGAAAUCAUGCAAUUGGCUUAAGUUAGAGAAUAAGAGAGUCAAAGUUGGUUUUCUUGGUUUUAUGCUUGGUUUUUCCAUGAUUUGGCAGGAUUUAUCAGGAAUUGAAUGAAGGUAUUUGAAGACGAUAAGAGUUGGGCUUAAGAGAAGGUGGAAAAGUGAAGAAAAAAAGAGUCGCAGCCACCGUCGGGCGGUGUACUCUCCAGAGAACUCUCUGCUAAACGCUUAAGCGACACCACUGAGGGGUGGAGUGGAAUGUCGACCUCACCGAUGGGCAGUGAAAUCACCGUCGGGCGAUGUCAAGUGUCGAACUCACCGUCUAGCAGUGAACCAACCGUCGGGCGGUGUACUAUUGGACCUGGUGAUGAGUCGAUAUUUUAUUCAUUUCACUUAGUUUAUUGUGCUAAAAUUAAUCAGGGAAUUGUGCUUAAUUAUCCAGUAUUUUCCCGUUUUUCCUAAUUAUGCUUAAUUUGACCGAAAAUUCUAAUUUUAAUUAAUUUGAAUUUUCUGAGCUUAUUAUUCGCAUUAUUAUUUUCAGGGAAAAUUUUGAAAACACUAUUUAGGACAUUUGGAGGACACCAAAUAAAUUCAAGACUCUCAAAUUAGACAUUUUAAAUUUUAGUUGUAUUGUAAUUUUAAUUGUUAAAACUUUUUAGACAAACUCUUUGCAUCAUGGGCCAUUUUGGCAAAAAUAUGAAGGCCCAAAAUUGUAGGACACGUGAACUAGGGUUUUAUUUUUUUUAGGGUCGACCCCACCUCAUUUUAGAAGACACAUGGCCUCUUAGAAAGACUACCAGCCGUCACACUUAGGACAGCAUUAUCCUCUGCUGAAAAAAAAAUAAGGUGCUGCCACGUUGGGAGAAGGGCUCUCGGCUGGAACGUGUUUUUGGGGCAGCAACAUUUUUCUUGAAACAAUGUUGAUGCUAGUGCUUGAUUUUGGAUGAAUGAAGAAUCAAUUGUUUACUUUUUAUUUUAGUGUACACGUUACUGGAAGAAAGCAAAUGCUUCUCUUAAUUUUCCAUUUCCAUUGAGCUUUUAUUUUGCAUUUGCCGAGACAAGCAUUGUCCUGCAAUGAUUAUUUUUUUUAUUUGCUGCUUCAUUGAUUUAUGGGAAGAUAAGCACUUGGUACGUACAACAUUUACUUUGCUUUGAAUGAGUAAGAAUGUAGAUUAGGUUGAUGGGAUGUGGUAGCUGAAUGAUAUCAAACUUUUCUCUUAUUUUCUUUUAGCAUGAAGAGUGAUGGCCUAGGUAGAAGUAGGUGUGUAGGUGUGUGCGUUGGAUGCUGGAAGGAGAGUAACCUUUUAUUUAUUUUAAUGGCAUGAUGAAUGGAUUAGAUAAGAGUAGAUAGGUGUGCAGUGCAGGAUAGGAUUUCUAGGAUUUCUUUUAGAGCAAUUUAUUUCUUCUCUUUGGAUGAGGUACGGUGAUGGUAUUGGAAAUUUGAGGAGCAGCCACUUGGAGAGGACAUUUCUUUUUAUCACAUUAUAUUCUUGGAGAAAGGGACACCAACUGUCGCACUCAAUUCUGAAGUUUUCUUUGAAUGUUUAUCUACGUUAAGCUCAUUUGAGGAAUUGUUAAUUGCCCUUUCUUUCUUUUUCUUGGUUUUCAUAACUUUUUGGUUGAAGGAAGCACGACUUUUAUUUGCAUAGGGUGAAGCGGUGCAGAGGUGGAGGCUCACACGGUUUCAUUAUUGGAGUGCUGCACGGUGUCUUAAGCAUUGCUUCUUUUUCAGCUACAAUGUGUUCAUCUAAUGUUUUAAUGCUUUAAAGCCAUUUUCAUUGUGUCACGGGUUUAGUUUAGAGAAUGCACGGUGAUUUUUAAUUUUGCUUGAAAAUGAAAGCUGCUGCAUGUUCAAUGCCUUUAUUAGCUAAUUUUAACUUUUAACAUAACUCACAUAUGCCACGGGAUAGGAGCAAUGUCACGACCUUGAGGGUCUCCUAGGCCAUUUUGCAAAUUUAAUUUCAUUUGGUAGAUGCCAUAGGUCAUGUUAAUUGCUAAAAGUAAAUUGUGUUUUUUAUUUCUUUUACUUUAUUUUAAUUUCACAAAGUUUUUUGAGUUGGGUUUUAUAUUUUUAGUUUAGUGAUGCAUAUUAAUAAUUUUAAUUAUGCUAGAUAUUUGUAUUACAGUGUUAGGCGUUUCAUAUUUUCUUUUAUUUUAAUGUUGUCUGGUAUUUUUGGUAGUGGUAAUUUAGCUGUCAUGUUAGCUUUAGUAUCCAACCUUAGUUAGGUUUAAUUUGUGUGUUUUAAUUUAGUCUAAUUGCAUUCACAAAACACUUUCAACCCCCCCCAACUUCGUGUUAGACCUGAUUCUCGAACCACAGUUUGGUCCUUGAGAGACGACCUAGGAGUCACUUCCUAACUAUACUGCAUUUCUAAAUUGCAAUCAAAUUUGUGUGGGCCGCGACACCCAUCACCUGGGCUAGUUUCUGCUUGGAUUUGAGGAAUUAUAAAUAGAUUUGGACGAGCUUGAUGGUCUAUCUUUUGACAGAUAGAGGCGUAGAAAUACUCUCUUCACCCCUCAGAGGUGGAUUUUGGAUGCGGGAGCUCCAAUCUAUCAAAUCUAGAGUUUAUCUUUUCAUUCUUUCCAUUAUUUUCUUCUAGUUUCACCAUGAUUAUGGUGAACUAAACCUCCAUUGUUGUUGGGGACUUGAUGUAAUCCUUUGAAACUCUCAUAUAUUGAAUUGUUGCUUUAUUCAUUAAUUGUUAGGGUUUUUCCUCCAUUAUAUUUGCAUGCUUUGUUUAAGACAUUAUUCAAUAGCAUAAUCUUUGAUUCUAUCUAUAUGGACACGUGUGGGUAGGUCUAGACAUGAGGGAAUUCUCUUGGUAACAAUAUUACCUAGACAUAGGGAUAGGAGGACCAAUUCCCUUAAGCUUUUGUGUGAAUUAUGUAAUGCAUGAUCAAUUACUAGGGAGACAAGACAUUGUAAACUAGUAAUUAGGAGUAGUCUCUUUUCACCAAGACAUUGGGGUUAGUGUAAAUUAGAAAGUGGCAUUGACAUUAAUGAAAAAGUCGAAUUCUUAGAUAUAUGAGAGUGGAUAGGUUGAAAUCAUAAACCCCAAUGACAUAAUUCAUUCAUGCAUCAUUCACUUGUGUUAUCUUUUGGUCAAUUGAUCAAAACCUUUGCAUUCAUAUUUAAUUUUCGUUUUUGCAUUAUAAAACCCUAAUGUUCGUUAUUCAAGUCUUAAAUAAUCAAUAAAUCACAUGAAAGUCUAGGCCUAUAAGUCUCUAGGGAAACGAUACUCUGACUUACCAUUUAUUAUUACUUGAUACGAUUCGGUACACUUGCCCGACCCUUAACAAGUUUUUUGCGCCGUUGUCGGAGACUCGUGGUUUAACUAUUCUAGUAGUGUGAUUACUGAUUGAAUUUGACUUGAUUUUUGUUUUCUUUUUGUUUUUGUUUUCUUUUUGUUUUUGUUUUAUUUUUAUAUAAAAGUGCUUUUUAGGGUUUUGUUUCUUGUGUAUGCAGGAUACAAUUCAUAUUAGGAGCAAGAAAAAUCUACAACCUCUUCUUGGAGGUUUGAGUGCAAUCGGAGGAGAGGGAAGGUUCGAAGAUCAUCUAGAGAAUUAUUCCCCUCUCUUAAGAGACUAUUGCAACCCUCAUUAGGAACAUCCAACCAAAGUACAAAAAAGAUGGCUAAGGAGGAAGCUCCUGUUAGACGCACUCUAGCGGAUGCAACCAAUGUGGUUGGCCCUCAACAUUUUAACAGCAUUGCAAGGUCGAGGUUCAAUGCAUUGAACAUGGAAGUGAAAUUGGCGUUGAUACAUUUGGUGCAAAGCAACCAAUUUGAUGGACUGUCACAUGAAAGUUCAUAUGAUCAUCUCAAUAUAUUCAAUGAGAUAUGCAACACGAUGAAGAUCAAUGAAGUGUCGGAUGGAGCAAUCAAACUUAGCUUGUUUCCUUUCUCAUUGGGAGGCAAUGUUAAACUGUGACUAAAUUCUUUCCCGGAAGAAAGUUUUACAGCUUGGGAGGCUGUGGUGGCAAAAUUUCUGAACAAAUAUUUUCCACAGUCUAAAAUCAACAAAGGAAAGAUGGAGAUAUCUUCUUUCAGGCAAGGCAUGGAAGAAACCCUAGGUUAGGCAUGGGACAGAUAUAAAAUUUUUGAGGAAGACACCUGUGCACAGUUGUAGUUCUCACAUUCCUUGUAGGUCUUGGCACUCAAUCUAAGCUUAUGCUAGAUGCCUCAGCUGGAGGUAAUAUCAAGAUAAAGACUGCUGAAGAAGCAUAUGAGUUGAUAGAAAGCAUGGCAGUUAAUGAGAAUGAAACUCAUAGUGAAAGGGGCGUGCCACUUCAAAAGAGGGAAGUUCUUCAAUUGCCUACUGAAGAAGCAUUGCUUGCGCAGAACAAGAUUCUAACUCAAUAAUUGGAGAAUCUGGAAAGGACUAUUGCUCAACUCCCUAACGAGUUAAAGAAUGUUUCGCAAGUACAACAACAACUUUGUGAUCGUUGUGGUGGUGACCAUGUUAAUGGUCAGUGUGCUUUUCCAGAGGAGGCCCAAGAAGAAGCAAAUUACAUGGGAAAUCAGUUUCAAUACCGCCAGGGUAAUUUCAAUCAAGGUAAUUACAACCAAGGUUGGAAAAACCAUCCAAGCAUUGGGCAAAGCCAGAAUACUCAAACUAGACAAACUGGAGGCCAAUUUAACCGACCACAACAGCCACCAUUAUGGCAACAGGUAUCUACUUUGACUGAAAAAGUCAGCAGCCUUAAUGAGAAGUUUGACAAAUUUUUGAAGGUGCAUGAAUCCACAGUCAAGGGCUAUGAGGCUACCUUCAGAAGUUUGGAUAUGCAAAUUCGUCAAGUAGCCAAAAGGGUGGACGUCAUGGAGAAAAAUCAAUUUGGGACUAAUACUGAAGUUAACCCUAAAGAAUAUUGUAAGGUUGUGGUGAGUAUGGUUGAGGAAAGAGUGGAAAAAGAAAGUGUUGAGUUGGAAAAGAGAGAAGAAAAAGAAGAAAUAUGUGAGGGAGAGAUUAGAGAAGAAAAAGAGAAUAGGGGAAAGAAAAAAAAUAGAAAAAGAAGAAAAAAUUGAGAAAGAUGAGAUAGUUCUUCCUUACCCGAAGGGGCACUAGAGAGAAGAGAGUAAGUGUGAGCGCUUUAUAGAAAUCUUCAAUCAAAUGGAGAUUACUAUACCGUUGACCGAAGCACUUCAACAAAUUCCUGUUUAUGCAAGGCGUAUAAAGCAAUAUCUUGGAGAAAAGAUAGAUUUUGAGGAGAAAGCUACUGAGGAACAAGAAGGUUGCAGUGACCCUCUGAAGAAAAGACACCCUCCAAAAGUGAAGGAUCCAAGAAGUUUUAUAAUUCCUUGCGUCGUUGGGAGUGUGAAGAUAGGAAAAGCUUUACUUGAUUUAGGGUCAAGUAUUAACUUGAUGCUUUUAUCUAUGCAGAAGAAGAUUGGUGGUCUUACAUUGAAGCCAACAAAGAUUUCAUUGAUCACAGCGGAUGGAUCAUCAAAGAAACCCUAUGGUGUGGUGGAGGAUGUUGUGAUUUGUAUUGAAAGUCUUGAAUUCUUGGUUGAUUUUGUGGUGAUAGAGAUGAAGGAGGAUGAUAAGAUCCUGGUUAUUCUUGGAAGGCCAUUUACGAAGAUGGCCAGAGUAAUUAUUAAUGUUUAUGAUGGGGCAAUUGUGCUUAAAGACCGAGAAGAAAAUGUGAUAUAUAAUGUCUCUAAAGAGAAGCAGAUUCGAGUAAAAAAGAAUAAUAGUCACAAAUCUUCAAAGAAGGAUGCACCAGUGGCUAAACCUAAAUUUGCUAAAGCGGUCAACAAAGGUAAUAAUUGUGUUUUAAUGCAGGUGAAGGAAGAAGAGAAAUUUGACAAAGGAGGGACGGUUCACUUUGAUUUGAAGGAUGCACCAUUCAAGCCUGGUACUCCUGUGAGAUACAAGAAGAAGUUGUGGGUGGUGAAAUGUUUUAAAGAGAAUGGAGAGAUAGAGAUUGAAGCUCCCUACUCUAGGCGAGUCAAGAAGGUGGACUGAACACAAUUGAUGAGUUGGUGUGAUGAAGGCAAAGAAGACAUCAACUUGAAGGAAGGAACUUGAGCUUUACUGGGCCAAGCUAGUGACGUUAAAAGAGCGCUUGUUGGGAGGCAUCCUAGUGAUGUUGAGAUUGUUGACAACACAAUUUCUAUGUCACUCUAGUUUUUUAUGAUGACAACACAUUGCUUAAUAACAUGCAUAUGUUGUUGCUACAUUACAUGUUCUUAUGCUGAUUGAUUGUUAUAUCUGUUGAACAUGUUUAUGUAAUGUGUUACAUGUUCCUAUGUUGAUUGAUUGAUAUAUAUGUGGAACGUGUUUAUGUGCUUUAUGUGUUAUGUGCAAUGCAUCAUUACAAAUGUUUUACUGCACAUGUUUUAAAGCUGAAAACCACAAGCACUUUCAUGAUCUUAUCAUUGUGUGACAAAACUAUAGUACAGUCGACUACAUUAUUAAUGGAUUCGACUAUGCUAAAAUCUUUGUACAGAUUUUGAGUACAGUGCUCUGUGAUAUUUUCAGAAGAAAAGAAUUUCAAAAUGUUUUGCAUGUUGAAAGUCGACUAUGUGCGCCACACAUUCGACUAUGUUAGUUGUUUGAUUUGAAAUUUUGUUAUGCUCUUGCACUCCAACAGCUAUAUUUUUAAAUACAUAAGAAUUCCAUGUUUUACAACUAAUCUCAACUAAUAGGAAAAGCCCUCCAUGGAGGAGAACUUAGGGUUCUACAAAUUGAAGAGAUAAGGAAGAAAUUGGAACCAAAGAGAAGAUGCAAAGCCUUUCCCAAGGUUCUUGGCAGCUGCUCCAUGAUCCAUUUGCGCCUCCCCUUCGCAUCUCCNUCUCCAAUUUGUGACCCAUCUUCUUCCUCAACCCAAAAGGGGCAAAAUCACCAUUGAAGAAGCUUGAAGACCCAAGGAGGAGUAGGAGAGCUUCCCAACACCCCAAAUAGCCUCCAAGGGUCUCUCCCAAUCUCUCUAGGUGAAGAAUGAAGUGUAGGAGGAGAAGACCCAUGUUUAAAUAACCCAUUUUGACAUAUCAGCGAAAAUUCGCGCCCAGCUCGGAUUCCUGGCGCCCAACGCGACUUUUCACUGAAUCAGAAGUGAGUUACAGCAAGUUUUCGCGCCCAGCGCCACUUUUUGGCGCCCAACCCCAUUAUCUGGCGCCCAGCCCCAUUCUGUGGCGCCCAGCCUGGAGUCUCUCUGCAACUCUGGCACCCAACUCGGAAUUCUAGCGCCCAGCUUGGAUUUCUCUGCAACUCUGGCGCCCAGCUUGGAUUUCUGGCGUCCAGCUUGGAUUUUUGGCGCUCAGCUCGGGCGGUUUCGACAGCAUUCUAAAAUUGAGGCUCUUGUGCGAUUCCAAAGGCGUCCAACAUGGGUAUUUGCUUCAAAUUGAUCUUUUAUUGUCCCAAAACAUGUUCCCUUGAGUUUUUGCUUGUUUUCCUCCACUAGAAUGACUUCCUAUUCAUUUAUUUCACACACUCAAACAUAGAGAUUAGAGGUAAAAACAAACAUAUACUAAAUAAAACACAAGAAAACUAUAAAACACACUAAACGUGAGGAUAAAACAAGGUAAAAGCUAUGAAGGAGUUGAUUUGUUCUCAAAAUAUACACACACAAACACGUUAAAUCAACCGUUAUCACUCUCCCACACUUAAAACCUUGCUUGUCCUCAAGCAAGAGGUAACUUGGUUAAGAAAAACAUCUACUCAACAAAAGUCAAAUAACUAGGAAGCAAGUUCACACAAUCAAAUUAGAUAACAUUCAUUAAUGCUCUUCUUUCAAUACCAAUCCAAAGAGAAUAUGUGUAACGUUGUAAAUCCUUAGCUAUGGUGCUCACAAUGCAAAUAUUACAAGAAUGAAUGUACAUGCUUUAUGAGAGAUUAACAAUCAUGNNNNNNNNNNNNNNNNNNNNNNNNNNNNNNNNNNNNNNNNNNNNNNNNNNNNNNNNNNNNNNNNNNNNNNNNNNNNNNNNNNNNNNNNNNNNNNNNNNNNNNNNNNNNNNNNNNNNNNNNNNNNNNNNNNNNNNNNNNNNNNNNNNNNNNNNNNNNNNNNNNNNNNNNNNNNNNNNNNNNNNNNNNNNNNNNNNNNNNNNNNNNNNNNNNNNNNNNNNNNNNNNNNNNNNNNNNNNNNNNNNNNNNNNNNNNNNNNNNNNNNNNNNNNNNNNNNNNNNNNNNNNNNNNNNNNNNNNNNNNNNNNNNNNNNNNNNNNNNNNNNNNNNNNNNNNNNNNNNNNNNNNNNNNNNNNNNNNNNNNNNNNNNNNNNNNNNNNNNNNNNNNNNNNNNNNNNNNNNNNNNNNNNNNNNNNNNNNNNNNNNNNNNNNNNNNNNNNNNNNNNNNNNNNNNNNNNNNNNNNNNNNNNNNNNNNNNNNNNNNNNNNNNNNNNNNNNNNNNNNNNNNNNNNNNNNNNNNNNNNNNNNNNNNNNNNNNNNNNNNNNNNNNNNNNNNNNNNNNNNNNNNNNNNNNNNNNNNNNNNNNNNNNNNNNNNNNNNNNNNNNNNNNNNNNNNNNNNNNNNNNNNNNNNNNNNNNNNNNNNNNNNNNNNNNNNNNNNNNNNNNNNNNNNNNNNNNNNNNNNNNNNNNNNNNNNNNNNNNNNNNNNNNNNNNNNNNNNNNNNNNNNNNNNNNNNNNNNNNNNNNNNNNNNNNNNNNNNNNNNNNNNNNNNNNNNNNNNNNNNNNNNNNNNNNNNNNNNNNNNNNNNNNNNNNNNNNNNNNNNNNNNNNNNNNNNNNNNNNNNNNNNNNNNNNAACUAGCAAUGAAACUCAAGCAAAGUUAAUUGUAACCAAAAGAGGUAGCACUCAUAGAUAAAAACUCUGAGGCACAAAAUCUCACCCGGUUAAGUUCUUUGGUUUCCAAUGGUUGUCAUAGAUCAUGCCACAAUCAUUAACCACAGUAAAAACAAUAACAACAUUCUCGAUAUACUCACAUAAGAAACAACCACAAGCAUAAGUUUUCACAAAAUCACAACACAUUCCCAAGUAUUCCAAAACCAAUUUAUGAGCAAACACAAAUGGUUCUCCUCAAAUUCAUGCAAAACUCACUCAAAGUCACAUAACCAAUGCAUCAUAUUUGUUAAACUAGCCAAGUCACACUUAUUAUCAACAACAGGAAAAAAAAUUGAAAGGGAAAGAAAAAGCAAACUCUUUUUUGGCGGACCAACUUGCUGCUCAAAUUCCUCAGCUCCUUGUGUAUUUUUCUUCAUCAACGUUCAUACCUUAUGCUUGCCAGAACACCAAGAAACUCGAACAAACACGUUAGUCCAAUUUUAAUAGAAACCACGUUUUGAAGAAUUGGAAAUUGAAAAACAUAAAGAUAAAAACAAAAGUAACAUAUAGAGAAGUGAAAUAGAAAAAUGAAAAACACAAACAAAGAAACAAGGAAAAGAAGAAACAAAAAUUGCAUAACAUGAGCACACCAACCAAACAACAAUUCUAAUAUGCAGAAUGAUUGAAAUGGAUUUCCUAAAUACCCUCACUCAGAUCCCUCUUGUUGCAAGAUCACUUAGUACUCUCCUGGGGUGAUGAAUACUACUUUCCCUAUUCUCUAAUGUAAAAACACUCAGAUCCCUGUUGUUGCGCCUAUUUAAACUUGACACACCUCACUCAAUCCCUUGGCAUAAGCAUGUAUCAAAACUUGCAUUAAGAACCAGAACAGUGGGGUCCAAAUACACAAUCAUGUCGUCUGUCACUCGGGUGACUAGUAAUAUCUGGGUUGAUUUAGCUAGUUCGGUUGCUGAAACCCCAUCCCUGGGCAUCCCAACAACUAGAUCAUGCUCUAAGGCAUACCCUGAAACAAGCUUUAAGCACAAACCAAACCAGUGAAAAGUAUAAACAUCUGAAGACAAACUGCAUAAAAGAAACACAAACAUAGCAGACAUACAAUUGGCAAAUAAUUCCACUUUCCCUGUUUUCUAAAGUUAGAACACUCAGAUCCCUCUUGUUGUGCCUACCUAAGUAUGACAAACCCUCACCCAAUCUCUUGGCGUAAGAAGUCCAUCAAAACUUGCCUUAAGUUCCAAAAUAGUGAAUCCAAACACAACCCCAUCCCUGGUGAUUGCACAUCUGGUUUGAUUUAGUUAGUUCCGCUACUGAAACCUUAUCCCUAAGCAUUUCANNAACUGCAUCAAGCUCUAAGGUGUACCCCGAGACAGGCAUUAAGUACAAACUAAAUCAAUGGAAAGUCUUAGAAACUAAAGCCAACUGCAGACAAAACAACAUUCAAAGACACAACAAACAAGAAAAGUCUAAAAGAGCCAUAAAUGCCUAAAUUGCCUUGUGUUGGAACACAAGUCCCCGGCAACGGCGCCAAAAACUUGUUGGCUGCAAAACCAACGGCAAGUGCACCGGUCGCAGCGUAGCAAGUGAUAAAUAUCGUUCUCUCCCAAGGGACUUGUGCACCACAUGACAAUUCUUCCUUUUAUAACCCAAUUAGACAUCAAAGUGCACAAAAACAACACAAGAAAAUCUUUGUGGUAUUUUAUCAAACAGUUGGUGUGCAAGGAAUUUAACAUAGUGUAUUUACAAUUUGUCAAGACUAGAAUUCAUCCAUUUCAUUCUCAUGCAUUCACAAACAUCUCAAUUCCAUCCAAUANNNNNNNNNNNNNNNNNNNNNNNNNNNNNNNNNNNNNNNNNNNNNNNNNNNNNNNNNNNNNNNNNNNNNNNNNNNNNNNNNNNNNNNNNNNNNNNNNNNNNNNNNNNNNNNNNNNNNNNNNNNNNNNNNNNNNNNNNNNNNNNNNNNNNNNNNNNNNNNNNNNNNNNNNNNNNNNNNNNNNNNNNNNNNNNNNNNNNNNNNNNNNNNNNNNNNNNNNNNNNNNNNNNNNNNNNNNNNNNNNNNNNNNNNNNNNNNNNNNNNNNNNNNNNNNNNNNNNNNNNNNNNNNNNNNNNNNNNNNNNNNNNNNNNNNNNNNNNNNNNNNNNNNNNNNNNNNNNNNNNNNNNNNNNNNNNNNNNNNNNNNNNNNNNNNNNNNNNNNNNNNNNNNNNNNNNNNNNNNNNNNNNNNNNNNNNNNNNNNNNNNNNNNNNNNNNNNNNNNNNNNNNNNNNNNNNNNNNNNNNNNNNNNNNNNNNNNNNNNNNNNNNNNNNNNNNNNNNNNNNNNNNNNNNNNNNNNNNNNNNNNNNNNNNNNNNNNNNNNNNNNNNNNNNNNNNNNNNNNNNNNNNNNNNNNNNNNNNNNNNNNNNNNNNNNNNNNNNNNNNNNNNNNNNNNNNNNNNNNNNNNNNNNNNNNNNNNNNNNNNNNNNNNNNNNNNNNNNNNNNNNNNNNNNNNNNNNNNNNNNNNNNNNNNNNNNNNNNNNNNNNNNNNNNNNNNNNNNNNNNNNNNNNNNNNNNNNNNNNNNNNNNNNNNNNNNNNNNNNNNNNNNNNNNNNNNNNNNNNNNNNNNNNNNNNNNNNNNNNNNNNNNNNNNNNNNNNNNNNNNNNNNNNNNNNNNNNNNNNNNNNNNNNNNNNNNNNNNNNNNNNNNNNNNNNNNNNNNNNNNNNNNNNNNNNNNNNNNNNNNNNNNNNNNNNNNNNNNNNNNNNNNNNNNNNNNNNNNNNNNNNNNNNNNNNNNNNNNNNNNNNNNNNNNNACAUGUUCCCUUGAGUUUUUGCUUGUUUUCCUCCACUAGAAUGACUUCCUAUUCAUUUAUUUCACACACUCAAACAUAGAGAUUAGAGGUAAAAAAAAACAUAUACUAAAUAAAACACAAGAAAACUAUAAAACACACUAAACGUGAGGAUAAAACAAGGUAAAAGCUAUGAAAGAGUUGAUUUGUUCUCAAAAUAUACACACACAAACACGUUAAAUCAACUGUUAUCACUAUAGAGCAAGUAACUCUGAUCACACCUUAUUUUUUAAGAGAGGAAAAGGAAAAUUUACAGCUUUAAUUAUAUAUGUAAAUGACAUGAUUGUUACAAGAAAUGACCAAGAUGAGAUUUCUAGUUUACAAUAAUACCUUGCAUCUGAAUUUGAGAUGAAACAACUUGGAAACCUUAAAUAUUUUUUGGGUAUUGAAGAAGUUAGAUCAAAACAUGGUAUUUUUCUAUGCCAAAGAAAAUAUAUUAUUGAUUUUUUUAAUCGGAAACUAGGCUGCUUGGGAGUAAACUGGUUGAUACACCAAUUGAACAAAAUCAUAAACUCUUUCAAUGCUCAAAUUCAGCAAGCAUAGACAAAGGAAGAUACCAAAGACUAGUAGGACAAUUAAUUUAUUUGUGCCAUACACAUCUAGAUAUCACCUAUGCAGUGAAUGUUGUUAGUCAAUUUAUGCAUGACCCACAAAAGCUUCAUAUGGAUGUUGUUGAAAGGAUUUUGAGAUAUUUGAAGUCCGCUCUUGGAAAAGGAAUUUUGUUCUCAAAUCAUGGAAACUUAAAUGUAGAAGGGUACACUGGUGCAAAUUGGGCAGGUUCAAAAGAUGAUAGAAGAUGUACCUCUGGAUACUUUACUUUUGUAGGACGGAGUCUUAUAACUUGGAGGAGUAAAAAACAACCUAUAGUAGUAGCAAGAUCUAGUGUUGAAGUAGAAUUCGGAGGCAUGGCACUAGGUGUAUAUGAACUUUUGUGAAUUAAAAAUAUGCUAUCAGAUUUGGGCUUUAAACAAAAUGAAGCUAUGAGUUUGUACUGUGACAAUACUUCGGCUAUAGCAAUUGCUCACAAUCCUGUGCAACAUGAUAGAAAAAAGCAUGUGGAGAUUGAUAGACAUUUCAUCAAAGAGAAGCUUGAAGCUAGAAUAAUUUCACUUCCUUUUGUAAGAUUAGAAUUGCAGUUGGUUGAUGUUCUCACCAAUGUCAAGAAGAUUGUUUAAUGAAUAUUUAUUCAAGUUGGGAAUUUUUGAUAUUCAUGCACCAACUUGAGUAUGGGUGUUAAGAUGUGUCAAAUAUUCUAUUAACGGAUAUUAGGCAAUCAAAUAUUGUGUUAGUUAUAAUUUAGAUAAUAUUAUAAUUUGUGAAGAUUUAUGUACAUGUCACUCCUUUAAUACAUGAAGAAUUAUAGGAUCCUUGUAUGUAUAUAUAUGGUACUCUACUCUUUGAAAUAAUACAUCAAAAUUAUUCUUUAAACCUUUUGAUAGUAUGUAUUUUUGUAAGGAUUUUGUAUUGGGGGUUAUCAUGACACUUCAAUAACCAUCCAAUUUCAAGUAGAGAAGGGUGAGGUAUGUCAUGACAAGUAAUAGGAGGUCCAUAGUUGUUAAGUCUCUAAAUUUCCCUAUUUUUCUAUGUUAAUACUCUUAUUUUAGGAUAGUUUAGCUUUUAAUUUUCUAUAAUUAAGGUAGAUUAGUAUAAUUAGAAUAAAAAUAGGUUUUUGAUAGAAAUAGUGCUAUUUUUUCCUUUUUAGUUAAAUAAAUAGUAUUUUUAAAUAAAUAAGUGUUUUGCUCUUUUCUUUAAAUGUUACAAUUUGUUUUUUUUUAGAAUUAUAGGAUUUUUUUUUUUGCUGCUAGAUUCUUUCAUUUUACAGAUGGGAUUGUGAUGCCUAAAGCAAUUAAAUUGAGCUGACAUUGAUUUGGAAGAAUGGGCUGCACAAAUGAAUCAUAGUGCGCAUUUUGAGGGAGCUGGCAGAAGACACUUGCUUUUGGGGGUUCUCGGUCAGAUUUGAAAAAGAAAAUAUAUUAGGCCACCACUGCAGAAAAAAUUGGGCCAUUGAAUAAAGAAAAGUUGAAGCCCUUUUGUUACAAUUAGUGAAACGGUGCGUAGAAGGCAAAAGCUGAAGUGGGUCUCUNAGUUUACAUCACAUUGUGCAGAGAUAGGAUCAUUUGAGUUUCCCCCAAUUCUUCACGAGCUAGGGUUCCAACAAAGAGAAGAACAGCGAACCAGAAGCGGGUUCCAUGGUUGAUUUCAAAAGCUGAUCAGAGGUCCACGGCCCAUAGGAAGGCAGCCCAGAAAGAUGAUCGGCCCAGAAACGUGAUCGGAGAAGUACGAAGCGGUCGACGGUUGAAGAAUGAUUCAGAGUUCGUUGAAGGAUCUUCGAGAAGCAUCUAAGCUGUAACUGAUUCCCUCCCCUUUCCCAUUUUCUUUUCUUUUUCUGUUUUUGGACUUACCCUAUAAAAAGGGGAAUUUUGUAAUAAGAAAAACACAAGUGGUGGGUGACAGACAUUGCUCUGACUCUAGCUCUCGACUUUGCUCUAGGCUCUAGGUUUUGGGUUUUCAAUUCUCUGUUUGUAGUUUAGGUUUUACUGCUUUCUUAGAGGUAGAUACGUUCUUUGCUUCACUGGAAUUCUUGGGGAUGAUCAAUGGGUGACAGACGUUGAGUUCUUUGAGAUUUCUGGUAUUUGUACUUUUGAUUUCCAAUUUUAAUAAAAGUUGCUUUUUCCCAUUUCCAUUUCGAUUUAUGUUUCUCUUUGCACCUUUAAAUUUCCAGCACUGUUAUUGUUUGAUUUUUUAUCUCUUAUGUUUCUCGCAUCUAUUUUGUUCAAUUUGAUGUACUUUUCUGAAUUUACAUUUUGCUUUGAUAUGUUCAUUGAGUUUUGCUUGUUCUUGUUGAACGUAGUAUAGGAUAUUUUCAUUUGGGUUGUGUAUUGUAGAUAGGUUCUGAUAUCUCUGGUUAAAGCUGUAAUUCUGAGUUAGAUGUGCAUAGAAUUGGAGGAUUGAAUGAGAAUUACCACUUUAAGUUCUAUGAACUAAAAAAGACCCCGAAGAGGGCUUGACUUUUCAGAAUGUCUUUCUGAGAGUAAUUGAGAUUCUAUUGUCCAUUCUAAUGCACAUUUGCCUUUGAAUUUGUUUUUACCUAAUGUCCUUAGUUUUGUUUUCAUUUGAAUUUUUUGUAUCUCUGUUGAGUAGAUCUUAGGUUAGUUUGCAUGAUAAUAUCCCUUGUCUCCUUUCAAUUUAUUCUGUUAUAUCAAGUUCCAGAUUCAGUACAUUGAGCUUUUAUUUUCUAGACCAUGUAUAUAGGUAUUUUGCAUUGUUUACAUGUUUCAUGCAUUGCAUUCAUUUUAAUGAUUCAAUUUUGGUUUCUUUCAUGUUUCAAUUCAGUUUCAGUUUCUAUUUUUGUUAAUAUUGUUGUUUUCAUUUGAGAUUUAUUUUUUAAGCUUUGCAUUAUAGCUUUUCAUUAGUAGAAUUAGGAUCAUUGGCAUGUUUCAGUUUCUUCAUUAGUAUAUUUUUUUUCCUUUCUUCUUUUUAUAACAGAAUAGUAGUGUAACUUUAGGAUUUUGCUUAUUAAGAUUUACAUACUCUUUCUUCAUUGCAUCUGACUCAUAACAGUAGGUAGUAUUUUCCUUUAUUCAUACAUCAUUUAAUCAUGCAUUCACAUUUAGUUUCUUCCUUUAGAUUUCAAUUUUUUAUUUUCCCCACCUAGUUUUAGAAAAUGAUAAUUAGGUUAAAUUCUACAAUUUCUAAACUUAACAAGAACCAAGUCCUUGGAUUGAUCCCUAGUCAGCCCUAUAUUACAUUAGUGGGGAUUAGGUUUGUUGACUUUUGUGCGACCAAAAGCCUUUCAACAAUAGUCUAGUGGGUUUUCCUUGGCCAUAGAUGUUUGAAGGACUAACCUUCAGUGUGGAAGCUUGAGUAAGCAAGUUGUCCUACCACACACACAAGUGCAAAACUACUAAAGUUUGACAUCAAUACAUGUAUCUUAAUGGUUAAGUCUUGAGUUAGUGUUUAUAUUCUUAGGAUUUUUUUGAUUUAAUUUUUUUAAUUGUUUUAUUCAUAACUCAAUUUAUGGAUGUUUCUUAGGUGAAAUUAGUUUACCCUUUUGUCUUUGCUUGUUUGUGUGAUUUUUUUUUUUGGAAUGAUCGCGUGGUGUGAAUAGAUGAAGAUGUUUUAGUUAAACAGGUGUUCGAUGGCAAUGCAACAUAUGCGUAGGAUAGUAUGAGUAGUUUUAUGGUAUAUUUGAUCUUUUUUACAAAACUCUUUUAAACCUUUAACUUUAGUAUAGUAACUCUUAGAAUUAAGAUAUCGUUGCAUAUGUUUUGGUGUUAUAAUUAUGUUGGGAUAACUGUAAUAAUAUUUUGUAAUAAUAUUUUAUAUGCUCUCUUUUAAAUUAAUUGUUUUUUGGUUUAAUACCUAUUUUGGUCCCUCCUUUGGGAGGGUUUGUUCAAAGUGGUCCCUCCCUUUUUCAAAAGUUCACUUAAGUCCUAUCUUUUGCAAAAACUGUUCAAAGUGGUCCUUUUUGCUAACGGCGUUAAUUCUGCUAACGGCAGAGCUGCCAGCUGGCUAUUAUGUGUUAAAAAAUAUUAUUAAUUGUGACGUGGAAAUGUAAUAAAAUUAGGAUUAAAAUUAAAAUUGAAAUUGGGGUAAUCUGGGGUAAUUAGGCAAACUGAUUUUGGGGAUCUUCUUCUCUUAAGAACUCCAUUGAUUUGUUAGUGGUGGAUCCAAAUCCUUUUGCACGAUUAUAAUGGGUAGAACAAACACAAGUGAUCUUCCUAUCGCUGGCUGAGAUGGUUCAAGUAAGCAUGGAACAAAGUCUGAGACAUUUACAACAAAGGGCUCUCGUCUGCCNCUGGAAAACUCUGCUUCUUUCUCAGUUUUCUUCNCCUUUUUUUUUUCUCUGCAUUUGGGGUUUGUGAGGUAAAUUUCCAGAGUAGAAAACGGAAAAAAAGAAGGAAUAAUACAUAGUGAAGUAUGAUGCCAGUCUAGGCCAUUGUGGAGGUAUCGAGUGACUGGUAAUUGUCAAUAAACUAAGUUGUCAGUGGUAAAGGUCAUGAUUUUGUAGUUGGUUUGUAAAGAAACUGCUGUAUAAAAUGACAUACAAGUGGUAAAAAGCUCCUUGUCCAAAUUAAUUGCUGAAGGGUUGUCCGAUUUUGUCAACAGUGGUUGUCCGAUUUGCGAUUUGGGAAUUUAGGGCUUCUCUUCUCUGCAGGUUUGAAACGUGAUGGAGAAAAUGCGAUCUGUGCGAACUGGUUGUGUUAUCCGAUUUGGGGUCGGCCAUGGUUGCACAAUCAGAGGCGCAGGGAGCUGCCGUGGAGGCCGAUUUGGCUCGCGUGGAGGAAUUUGGUGUGAGACGCUUUACUGGAGCGACCACCUUCAGCAAGAAGAAGAUCCCAGUUUGCCUAAUUACCAGAUUACCCAAAUUUCAAUUUUAAUUUUAACCCUAAUUUUAUUACAUUUCCACGUCACAAAUAAUAAUAUUUUUUAACACAUAAUAGCCAGCUGGCAACUCUGCCGUUAGCAGAAUUAACGUCGUUAGCAAAAAGGACCACUUUGAACAGUUUUUGCAAAAGGUAGGACUUAAGUGAACUUUUGAAAAAAGGAAGGACCACUUUGAACAAACCCUCCCAAAGGAGGGACCAAAAUAGGUAUUAAACCUUGUUUUUUCUUAUAGGAUAUGUGAUCCUUCCAUAUGAUAAUAGUAUUAAAACUAUUGAAAUGAGAUGUUACCAUACAUAUAAAAACUUAAAUACUAAUUAAAUCUAUAAAAUACAAAUGACUCAUAAUAUUUGAUUUUGACAAAUAAAAAAAGUAAAUCUAAAGUUAUGUUAAAAGGAAUAAAAUGUCUUAUAAAUUAGACAACUAUGUUUUUUUAAACGUGUCUCUCAAGUUUAUAUUAAGUGGUUUCAAGGGAGAAAAAAAAGUGAAAAUGUUGAUUUUAAAUAUAGGUGAUAUACACUUUUAAAAAAGUUAGUCUUUUUCUUACUCAAUUUUGAUUGUAUUAUUUAAUGUGGUUUCGUAUUUUGUUUUAGAUAUAGUUUAUUUUUGUUAAAAAAGAUUAAAAAAUUCUUCUAUUAAAUUGAUAAUAACACCAUUUAAAGAAUCACAUUGUAAACCUAUAAAGAAUAUAUGAUUUUACAAUGUAAAUAACACGACCACUUUGAAUAUUUAUAAUGUCGUAUAUUAUUUAUAUUGUCACGUUAUAUAUUUUCUAAAAUGUGUCAAUACAGAUUUAUUUUAAGAUAUCACACUAACUUUUUUAACAAAAAAGUAAAUAUUAAAUUUAGACGAAGAAAAGAUUGAAAGACUAUAUUUUAUAAUUGGGACAAAAUAUAGGACAGAAAAAAAAAACUAUUAAACCUUUUAAAAAAAGACUAAGUAACCGGGAAUUGGGAUUAGAGUAAUGUAUUACAAGAUACAACGUAGAUGACUUUUGUAUUAGAAUAAUCGUAUCAAGAUUUACAUUUACAUUUAUUUGAUAUAAAAUAUAAAGGUAAAAUAUCAUAAAAAUAUAAAUUUUUAUAUUUUUAAGAAAAAAAUAAAAAAUAAAAAUAAUAUUAAAUGAAUAUAAAAAAUUUAAGUAUGUCAAUUUUUCUUUUAUAUUAACUUAUACAAAAUAUAGAAAGGAAUUGGAUCCAUGGUAAAGCAACUCGUGAAUUCGUUUUCUCUUCAUAAAGAGAAUAUGACAACGCAAACAAAGGGUUUUGGUUCUUCCCUUCUUCACCGGCCUCAAGAUAAGAACAAAAGAAAACAAAUGGGAGAUACUAAGUCACAUUCCACAAAAACACGCUUCUUCCUUUUCUUAGUUACUUCUUUAUAUAUAUAUAUAUAUAUAUAUAUAUAUAUAUAUAUAUAUAUAUCGAUUAACACAAUCAUAUACAAUACAGUUUAAGACUAAUUAAUAUUAUAAAUAUUCAAUUUGUCAGUUUCAUAUAAUUGAAUAAAACCUCUGUAAUUCCAUUAUAAGUAUAAGUAAGGAUUAAAUUUGUUUUUAUCUAAUAUUUUAAUAUAUUUUUAUUUUUAAAUUUUAAAAUGAUUGAAUAUAUUUUUUUUAAUUUAAUAUUUAUUGAAAUUUAUGAUUCAUAAGUAAAAAAUUUUAAAAUAAUUAAAUUAAAAGAAUUUAUUCAUUCAAUUUUAAAACAUGAAGACUGAAAUACUGAAAUGUAUAAAAGUUUCUUAUAUAAAUAAAUUUCAAUUUUAGUUGAAAAUUAAGGAAGAAAUAAAUACUUAUAACCCUAAGUAUCACACAUAUAAAGAAAUAGAGUGAGUUUACAUUAUAUUAAACUCGCAUAAGAUUUUUUAUACCAAAAUCGGAAAAGUCUAAACGAAAAAUGGUUUGAUGUAGUAGUUGUACCUGUUCUAAGACUUAGAGUCAAGGUUGAUGGUUAAUUAUUUUGAUUUGAGAAAUUGAUUUUAUUAUUUAUCUUGAUCUCUUAGUAUUAGCAUUUUCAUUCUAAAAGUUAAUCUUAUUGUUUAAGUAAAUUCUGGUCAUAAUUCUAGUUAAUUCUUUCUAGCUAAUUCUAGAAGUUAUCUUGCAUCAAAUGGUGUCAUUGUGCGAUAAUACAUUUAUUUAGGACAAAACUUAUGUGUCAUAUUAUAAGUGUUAUUUUUGUUCUUCAAUCAAAUUUAAAAUAUUUAGUGACAUUUAAUAAAAAAAAUUAUUAUAAUAUUCCAUUCUUGAAAAUAAUAGCAAUAAUAUUUGUGACAUUGCAUAUGAGGGUUUUUUGGAAAAAUUAAUAGUCGAUAAGUUAAUUUAUAAUUUAUUAUCUAGUCAUGACAGAUAAGAUAUAUAGUUUAUAAGUUUUAAAUUGAUAAGUUAUCUAUUGACUUGAAAGCAUAUUUGGUAAAAUUAGUUGAUAAACUACUAGAUAAAUAAAACUAACAUGAGAAAAAACAUAACUACACCACAGUUUUAUUAUAAAUGUUUUUUAUAGAUAAAAUAUUUAUAUAAUUAUAAUUUUAUUUUUUAUUAAAUAAUUAAAACUUAUUAAAAAUUUAGUAUUUUUAUUUGUUUUUCAAAAACGUAUAGCUGUUUUUUCUUUAAAUAAAAUCAUUUUAUCUACGUAUUGAUCAAAUUUAGUUUUAUUGAUUUUCAAAAGUUAAAUAUUUUUAUUUGAUAAUUCAAAUUACUGUUACAAUAAUUUUUUAACAAAUUUUAUUAUGUUGGAUUUUCAUAUAUAUUUUACUUUAAUUUAUAAUGUUAAUUGUUUUAAUUUUAAUUAGAAUUUUUAAAUAUAACCCAUAAAUAUUAAAAGCACUACACUAAUUAAUUGUCUCCAUAAAAUUUAAAAUACGUUAUAAUAAGUAAAAGAAUUAAAAAUAAUAAAAACUAUAUAAAAAUAUACAGAAUAAUAAUAAAAGAAAAUUUAACAAGUUAUACACUAGUUAAAAUAGCUUGUAGUUUAUAAAUUAUAAUUGUUAAACAAAAUAUUUUCAUUACAUUAUUAAAUAACAAAUUAAAAUGUAGAGAUGUUAAGUGAGUGGUGUAGCUCAGAAGAGUUAGUUCAAAUUUUUAUUUGCUAAAAAUUUUAUAAUCUAGCUAAAUCCAUUGUGGAUUAAUAGGUUUUUAUUUUCCUAACUUAUUUUAUAUAUUUAUUGUAGUAUAAGUAAAAUGAAUUAAUUUGACUAAUUUAUUUAUAACAAUAUAAUUAAAGUAUUUACCUAUUUAGCCAAAUAUUAUUAUAGAUAUAGUAAUUAAAAAUUAAAGUUUUAAUUUAUAUAAUUAGAUAAAUAAAUUAAUUAAGCAUCUAAAAUAUUUAAAUAUUAUUAAACUACAUUUUAGUUUUGAAAAUUAUUAAAUAAUCAAAUUACAUAAUUAAGAGUAACAAAUAAUUAUAAAAAAUUAUAAUAAAAGAUUAUGAAAAAAUAAAUAAAUAAUAAUAAAAAAUUGUUGUAGGUAAAUUAUAUAUUAAUCUAUCUCAAACUCGAUUUGAACCUAUUUAAUAUGCAUAUUAAGUUAAUUUGGUUCACUUUAAUUUACAUUUUAAAAAAGUUAGAUUUUUUUCCCAUCCAAGCCGACGCAACUCAAAUUAGUAACUAAGUAACAAUGUGUAAUAUGAAUGGAAGUGAAUUUAGUGUCCACAAGUAAAAUCUCAAAUUCUAAUUUUGUAGAUGAAUUUAGUGCUACUUUUUCUUUUCUCUCUUAUUUUCGUCUUUCACAAAUUUCUUCUUUGUUUCCUUCCAUUUUUUCUAACCUUUAUUUCUUCAUAUCUCAUAUAAUAGUUUGAUUGAAACUUAAAAUUAUUUCUCAUCAAAUUUUCAAAUAAAGUUUGUUUUCAAGUAUUUUUUUUGAAAAAUGGUUUAAAUAGGUUAAGAAUUGAACUAUAUUUAUGUUUUGAUAAAUAGAAUUUAGUGGGUAUUAAAUAGUAUUUAUUGAGAAUUAAUAUAGAACUUAGAGGGUGUGGUAUAAUUCAUCCUAUAAAAAAGAUGUAUUCUCUAAUAUAAUAAUGAUACAUGUGAAUUUUGAUAGACAAUUGACUUUUAUAUUUGUGAGAGUUUUGUGGAGUUAUCAUCUCAACGUGACUUAGCAUUCACAUUUUUAUAUUUCUUGAGUGUAGCAUUAAUAUAUUUUUCCAAACUCAAUACUAGAACAAUUUUCCACUAUUAUAAAAAUUGUGUAUAAGGUCGAAUAUUUUGGGUUUUUAAUGACGAAUUCGUGAACGAUAUUAUAUCAGGAGAUGUUAAAUUAACGUCAAAUUUUAUCAAUAACGUCAAAUUUUGUCAAUAUAAGACAUUAAUUAAUUUUAUUAUUUUUUUAAUUAAUUGUGAUCAUUUUUUAAAACUUUAUUAGAUCUAAAAAGCAGAAAAUAACAAAUUUCAGUUUUUGGUAUCUUAUGAAGCAUGAACUUUGAUAAACAACAAACAACAAUAAUCAACAACAAACAAUUUCAAUCAUAAAACAACAAACAUGUUCAACUAAAUAACAACCAUAAACAAGUUCAACAAAAAAAACAAAUAAGUUCUUCAAAACUAAAAUGAAAACUAACUUUCAAAAGGUGGGUUCAUCAGAAUAAAGUGUCGUCACCCGUGAAACAGAAUGCGUCUAUGAAGGACAAGAGCACGAAAAUAAUCAGUCAAAACAAACGAAAAUCAUACAUAAAAGUUAAUUAACAUGCAUUUGUAUCAAAUGAAAGAAAGAUUACCUGUGAUGGUCGUCAAACUUCGUUCGAGAAAAGUUUGAGAAGGGAAGAGAGUCAAGCGUGCUAAGAUAAAGUGAAAGAAUUUUCAAUCUCCCGCUCAAAUUUUUAUUGAAUUCACUAACCUUUUAACCGGUCAUUUUUAAUGUUGGUUAUUUAGUGGUUUGACGUUGAACGCGUGACGUUAUACAUUGUUUUUGCACUAGUGGCCCUACUUUCUCAUCAGCAGGAUUCUAACAAAGUCGGGAUAAUCCCCUCAAAUCCUCCUUUAUACACUACCUCCUAACAAAGGAUAAAUGUAAUAUUUCCUCCUUUAAAAUCUUUCCACUAUCCCCAAAGCAUACAACCAAACAUAAAAAUAUUCUCAAUCAAUCUACAUUACAUGCAGUUAAUAUAUUACAUUCUCAUAUAAUUUUAAAUCAUCACACCAUAUCGUACAUAUGUAUUUUACCUCAAUUUAACUUAUCUCAACAUCAAUCACCUAUUAUUUAUUUCAAUUUACAAGUUAACAAUUCAUCAUUUAUUUUUUAUUGUGUUAGCCUAAUAUUCAAAUACAACAUUUCUAAUAAUUACAUUAAAACGUCUAAAAGCAUUUCUCUAGUCACAGACUUCUAAUCAAAGAUCUCAAUCAUCAAAGUAAAGAUUCAUAUGUCUAGUAUCAACUAUCAAAAUUUUAGCUAGAUCUAACCAUUAAUGAAACGAGAAUCUUAAUUUUUAUGACAUGACUCCUAAUAGAAAAACAAAAUAGAGCCCGAAGUUGAAUAAGUGACACCUAACAUCCAAAACCCUUGGGACUCACUGAUUUGAGAGCGUCCAACAAUCCAAAAGUGGUGUUCAACGACACUUCGAGGACAUAUAACGCUACACCAAAUAUUUGAAAUUUCUCUAUUCGUGUUAAUUGAUAAAUUUGACUCUUCUUGAGCUAUUUACCCUUAAUAUAUUUUAUAAGAUCAUAAUAUAAAACUAUCUUAGCUUAAGAAGUACUAAUUUAGACAAUUAAUUGUCUCACAACACAAAAGAACCAUUUCGAGCACAUAAUCGGAACUCAUAAUCUAUAAUACCAAUUUGUAAAUCUAAUAUAAUUAAAUGUGAUCCACCUCUAGUUAUUUGUAACUCAAGACAGUAUAAACCAUUAUAAGAAACCAAAUUACCAAAGAGAUAUAUUAAGUUAACACACCAAGCAUAUAAUCAAUCAUUCAAAUUAAUAAACACAACUCAUUAAUCCUCUAGCCAAUCAAAUUCAUCUCUUUCAUUAAUAACAAUCAAUCCCAAUUAUAGUUUAUACCACAAAUUCCUACCAAACAUAAUUCUAUUUUUAAAAUAGCUGACUUUUGUUACCUCGGUUAAACUUGUCAGAAUCGACUGCAGCGGAAUGGUUAGCGUGGAAUAACAAACCAAGAGGGUUUUUAAUACAAACGCGUGCCUUUUAAUUUCUACUCAAUUUAACUUACUACGCAAAUAAUAAUAACAAGUAAAAAGAGUAAGGUUGAGAGAAAUCUGCACAGAUGAUUUUUAUACUGGUUCGGAUCUUACCAAUCCUACGUCCAGUUGUUAAUCUAAAACAAGAUUAACUUCCACUAACACAAAACAAUUACAAAUUACAAUCACAAAGAAAUAAUUUGUAAAGGUUUAGAAAACACCUCUCUUGAAGUCACAAGAGAUGAGACAACACCUCCUUUGAAUCUUCACAAAGGAUGAAACACCUCCUCCGAAUACUUCACGAAGGAUGAACACCUCCUUAGACACACCAAGGAUGAACACCNN
Molecule: long non-coding RNA, 73061 nt
Filed under: Vigna radiata
Lineage: Eukaryota; Viridiplantae; Streptophyta; Magnoliopsida; Fabales; Fabaceae
Description: long non-coding RNA (VRAD_LNC001266)
Source: RNAcentral